GUCUCUGAAUCCUCAGGCCCUUCUGGUUCUUAUAUUCUAUGCAAUAUCACGUAAGUUAAAUCAUUAAAUGUUUAUUUUUGAUAUAAGUAUAUUCUUAGUGGAUCUGUUCAUGUGAUUAUAGAAAAGGUACCUAGACUGAUGUUAAAUAAAAUGUUACAUUUAUAUGGAUAUUAAUUCAUUUAAUUAAGAAUAUUGAGAUGUUUUAAUAAUAUAGAGUUGUUUUUGCAGUAUGAGAAAAAUAUAUUGAGAUAUAGAAAGUAACAGGGGAAUGUAAACUAAAACCAAGAGAGAGCAAAAACACGUAGAAGAGUUCCUAAGCAAAGGUCCUUACAAACUUGUGUGGUCUGUGGGUCGUUAAGUGGAUAACAAGACCUCCUGUGGCAUCUUUAGUGUAGGUUUCCGUGGGAUAUCCAGGAACUAUGACCACCUGUGCCUGAAAUAUAUUGGGGGUCAGUGCUUUGCGCCGGUCCCAUCCGUUUGGGCCCCGUUUGGGUCGGUGGAUGCAGGGCCAGAUUAACAUAGGGGCUGAUGGAGGUGCAGCCCCAGGCCCAUGGAAUAGGCCCAUUGAUUUAAAAAUAAAUAAAUAAAUAAUAAUAAUAAUAAAAAAAUAAAUAAAUAUUAUAUUAUUAUUCUUUUUUUUUUUUAACACUACUCCACAUACUUUUGCUUAAGUAUGGAAACUCAAGAGGGAUGUAUUAGAACAAAACUUGUGUGGACUGGCUGACAAUGAAAUUAGUUAAGGAAAUGCUGACUUUGGUCUCUCUAACACUGUGGCAUGUUCCCUUUCUUCUACCCUCACUACACAAACCUUUUCUCUGUCCCAGACUGUAUACCAGGAGCUUCUGCCUGCUAGUAAAAAGGUUAGGAGAGGAGUGGACCAGUGAGUGCUAGGGAACAGUUCUUAGAAAGCGUGGAGCGAGCGCUUCAUUAGACACAUUUAUGCUAAGCUCAGGGUGCCCCUUCCGGCAUUUCUAGUUACAUGAUUCGCGUCAGUGGCCCACCCUUUUACCCCACCCAUUGACGUCUUGCUUUACUGGACACUGCUGUUAGGGCGUAGGGAUUUACUUGAAAGAUGAAAACGAGAGAUAAGCAUAGGGUAUGUGUUUUCGGAUAGCUGCAUUCUAUGAGUUUCCCUCCAGCACCAUAUCCACCAGAUACAUGAAGCUUUGGAGGUAUGACUGUUUUAGUGUUUUUGGUCGAUAAGAUUCUGUAAUUAGGCCCAUCAUAACUGUCAGCACCAGGCCCACUGGACUCUUAAUCUGGCCCUGGGGAGAUGGCAAGUGUAGACGCUGGAGAAAGGUUGCCUGGUCUCCAGAGGAGGUUAAUGUAAAUAUGUCAUCUCCCUUAUGAACCACUAGUGAACCAUCUAUCCCCCACCUAUAUUUAAUUGCGGCUUCCCGCAGCUGUCUUGCAACAGGUGCUAGCUGCCAGCACGGUGAAUGGGAGGUUUCCGUAGAUAGCUACGGUGCAUUCCUUGGAGUGGAUAUUACCAAGCUCUCUAAAGUGGGACAUUAUGGCAGACUGAGCCGCGAUAUCUUUAGACACUGCAAUAAUGUCUCUAGGUGCAUCCGGGGGCAGAUGCGGCUUUGCGGAUACGGAAUGCCGAAGUGACAAUCUCAGGGUCUGCACCUCUCUUUGCACCCAUGGAGGUCAGUAGUCGCUGGAGGAAGGGUUCAUCUCCCGCAAUUCGCUCCGGCACCCUUCUAAGGCUGAUAUUCUUUCAUCUGUGCCGGGAUGCCAGCGCUGUGACAGUCCUGGUUAGUUUCUGGACUUGUUGAGUGAGGUCCUGGAUCCCGUCAUGGGUGGUCUGCAGCUUUUGUUCCCUGGCUUUGUCCCUGGAUUCCACCUUGGUCAGCCUUUGACACAGGGUCCCCAGCUCAGUUUGAGUUGCGUGCAGGUCUGCUUUCCACACCUGUCUCAUUUCCAGCAGAAGAUCUUUGAUAUCCUGUUUUGUCACUGGCAACAGGUCUUCAUCGAAGUCAGACUCAUUAUAGGUGCCAGGUGUCAGAGGAGAGACAGGAGCUUCCUCGUCAUCUCGGGAUGCUUUGGAUGGCAUCUUAGGGGAAACUUGCUGGGUAGGCCUGUCAAAUGAAAGCCUAAUAUCAGGCAGUUUUGAUGCUUCUGGUAUGCGGAGUAUUCUAUUUUAUCGUGUCGGCUGUGUGGGGGUGUUGAGGUGUGAGGUUUGUUGGAGUUUUUUAAUUACAGUUGUCUGCUGUUUUCCAGGUCCACACUGGAAAACAGCCUAAUCUUUCUAGUUGCUUAAUAAGCCAUGCCCCCCGCUCCCCCCUUUUCAUGUUUUUAAAAUAGGUUUUAAUAAAAAUAAUAAGGCUCUAUAAGCACUUUUCAGGUACUUCGAAAAACAAUCCACUGUAUUGUUAUGGAAUUUAUUUUGUACAUGUAUGCUUUGUGUAAUGAUAUUAUUUAGUGACACUGUAUUUUUGUUUAUGUUAUUGCUGUCACUUUGUUAAUUUAUUACUCCAACUGAGCAGGUCAUAUACCCUUCACUGAUCACAUGACCAAUAAAGAUUGUUUAAAGGAAGUUCUGUUCACUAGCACUGACUACAGAGGAGUGAACUAGCAUUGUAUUCUCUGUAUCCUCAGCUACUCAGUGAGGAUCAGAAUAAACAGUUUCCUUAGGUGAAACCUUUGCUCACCAGACUGAUGCUCCUUCAAUGAAGCACUCCUCCUUAGCUGGGUGAUUACCAAAAGUCUCUAACAAAUACAACUGGAGACAGCAAAUGCAGCUCCCACAAUCAGUAUUUCUGUAGGUGAGGAAAGGUGCACAAGACCAUUUUUCAAUGCAAAACAAUCGUAUGUUGUAGCAAUUACGUUUUUUUUUAAAUUUAUUUAUUUAAUAUUUUGUGUGGGUGAUACAAUACAACACAAGAAAUGUGGCAAAGCAAUGUUAUGAAAUAUGUUGUGAAAAUACACCCAUUUUAUAAUUAUAUAACACAAAUUCUUAUAAUAACAUAACUUAAAAUAAAGAUUUACACAAAUCAUUGCAAAAACAACAAUAGAAAUAACUUCUAUGCAUACAGAAAUAAGAGAGCCCAAGGUAGAAUGUGAAAAAGGUUUCAAGAUGAGAAAGUACCCAUAACUAGGGAGGAAGCUGGGAUGAGGGGUGGGGGGUACUGCAAUGCUGCACACAAUCCCUCACAAGCAUUGUGUGAUAUCACAGUGAGAUAGGUUUAAUAAUUACAACUAAAAACUCUGAAAUUAGUUACAUAGCUAAAAAGAGAAAUGCGUUCAUCAAGUUCAGCCUUUCUCACAUUCGUUUUUGCAGUGAUUCCAAAAGAAGGCAAAAAAGCGCUUCCAGUUUUGCAGCAAACUAGGAAAAAAUCCCUCUUUGUCAGGGGUUUGGUCGGGAAGGGGUGCUGAUCAGUGCAGCACCCUCUAAAGAAUGCAAAGAAACUUAUGUACACACAAAUAAAAGCAAAAAAUAAGUGUAUUGAUAUUUACAAAGAAGACAGUUAAGUAAAAUACAAACACAGAUAACGGAAUGUAGGAGAAGGACCACUAUAUACAGGGUAGGCAAGACAGGCUUAUGGAUACAGGGUAGGCAGGACAGGCAUCUGGAUACAGAGAUGGUAGGACAGGCCUCUGGAUACAGGGUAGGUAGGACAGGCCUCUGGAUACAGGGAAGGCAGGACAGGCCUCUGGAUACAGGGAGGCGGGACAGGCCUCUGGAUACAGGGUAGGUAGGACAGGCCUCUGGAUACAGGGUAGGCAGGACAGGCCUCUGGAUACAGAGAUGGUAGGGCAGGCCUCUGGAUACAGGGUAGGUAGGACAGGCCUCUGGAUACAGGAAAGACAGGAAAGGCCUCUGGAUACAGGGAAGGCGGGACAGGGCUCUGGAUACAGGGUAGGUAGGACAGGCCUCUGGAUACAGGGUAGGCAGGACAGGCCUCUGGAUACAGAGAUGGUAGGACAGGCCUCUGGAUACAGGGUAGGUAGGACAGGCCUCUGGAUACAGGAAAGGCAGGAAAGGCCUAUGGAUAUAGGGAAGGCGGGACAGGCCUCUGAAUACAGGGUAGGCGGGACAGGCCUCUGGAUACAGGGUAGGUAGGACAGGCCUCUGAAUACAGGUUAGGCAGGACAGGCCUCUGGAUACAGAGUAGGUAGGACAGGCCUCUGGAUACAGGGUAGGUAGGGCAGGUCUCUGGAUACAGGGUAGGCAAGACAGGCCUCUGGAUACAGAGUAGGUAGGACAGGCCUCUGGAUAUAGGGUAGGUAGGACAGGCCUCUGGAUACAGAGUAGGUAGGACAGGCCUCUGGAUACAAGGUAGGCAGGACAGGCCUCUGGAUACAGGGUAGGCAGGAUAAGAGGACCAGACCAACAACAAGACAUUAAUGAACUGGCAAACAAGAAAGGGCAAGUAUUUAUCCAAUUGGUGUUUAAACAUUUGUAUAGAUUUUGAUAAAACUGCCUCUUCAGACAGAGAAUUCUACAUCCUUUUUGUUUUUGCGUAGACUAAAAAUAAAUAGAAAUUACUAAUAUAAAGUACAUACAUCUUUGUCACUGAGUCCUUUCCCACUCCUGGGACAAAAGGAGACACUGUGAUGAUAGUCCAAGUAUGAGUAGUGAUAGACAACUUCUGAAGGGAUUUUCCUAGACCAAAAGCAAUAAGGAAUAUAAAAGUCUGGAGUAGUGACAGCCUGUUGGGGUCACUUAUUAAUGGAACUCAUAGAUUUAUGAACAAUGUAAAUCAGGUAAAAAGGUGAGGUGGUGUGUCAUCGGGUGCUUUUCCCUGAAGCAUAGUCGUUAAACAUUGUCUAUCUACAUGUGUUUGACAGUGUAAAAUAAUAUCUAGGAGCAACAUUGGACAAAGUGCUUUACUUGUGUUAUGGGAAGUAUUGAGGCUACCUGAUGACUGAUAAAGUGUGGAAGUUUCUCUGAUGUAACUGAGGCCAAGACACCCCUAAUUUUAAGAUUCUUCCAUCUAUCUCAGUCAUCAAGGUGGUCAAACUGUAGGGUAUAGUUUCAGUGUAAUGUUUGCAAUUGUUGUACUGUUUUCCCCUUGAGUAGAUUCAGUAUAUCCUCUUCUGAGGCCUGGACACAAGCAGUAAUCCUCUGUCUUUACAACUUCAACAUCUUUUAAAUGUCUGCAAAUAGAUUUUGGAUGUCCUACUUUGUGGCUGGGGCUGUUUUGUCCGAAUCAGCAGAGGUGGUUGAAUUGGAGUCUUGUGUAUGUGAUGGCAGGGCCUAGUCAGUAAUACCAUCCUCAAUCAGGGAGGUGUAGGCCUCCGAAUCAGCUGGUUGCACCAUCUUGGUCCGCAGAGUGCUUUGAAACAUUGUGACAAUGUCUCUAAUGACUUUGGAGGCAGUUGCCUGUGGCCAGUGGUGUAUUUUGGUUUUGUGCUGCCCUAGGCAUGACAAAACUCAGGCACCCUCCCCUUCUAAAUUUCCUUUCCUGUUAAAAACCAACACGCUCUUUGCCUGACAGACACACGCCUUCACUGAUGCAUACACUGACAUACACUCACUGACAGAUACACAGUCAUUGUCACACACACUGUUUAACCUACACACACUUUCACUGAAACAUACACACUCACUGAUAGACAGAAAUGCACACUCACAUUCACCGACAGACACACACAUCCACCGACAGACACACUAACUGACACACACAUUUACUGACAGAUACACAUACACACUCAUUGACAAGACACAUACUCACUGACAGACACACACUCACUCAGUGUCAGACACACACACACUGUGACACACAUAUGCUUACUGACAGACACACAUUGACAAACACACAUACAUACUCACUAACAGACACAUAUACGCUCAGUGUCAGACACACACAUUCACUAACAGACAUACAGAUUGACUCACAGAUACACAUUCUCAGUGACAGACACUCAUACACACACUAACAGACACACACAUUCACUAACAGACAUACAUACUCACUCUCACUAAUAGACACAGAAAAACAAACACACUCACUGACACAUACACACACCAACACACUCACUAACAGACACACACACACACACACACAGUCUCAUUAACUGUAAAGACAGACAGACAAACUAACACACUCACCAACAGACAGACACACACACACACACUAACACUAACACACUCACUAACAGACACACACACACUCUCACUUACAGACACAGACACACUAGCACACUCACCAACAGACACACUCUCACUAACAUAGACACACACAAACACUCACUAACAGACACACACACACACACACACACACUAACACUCACUAACAGACACACACACACACACACACACACACUCUCACUAACACACUUUAAGGGAUUAUUCCCUGGGGUCCCGUGGAGCUGAGAGGAAAGACAGGUGCAUAGUUCAUGCGAGCAGCGAGGGAACUCUGAUCCUAUGCCGAAGCCAGAAUAUGACAUCAUAUUCUGGCUCCGGCAUCUCUGCAGGGCACACAAGGGAACUGAGCAGGGAAGAGCUCAGGGGAGAGUGCUCCCUCGCUGCCUGUCUCCCAUAUCAGCCCAUGCCAGCCUCUGGGGGUCCCUGAGGUGGUCAGCCGGCCAGCUCCCAGGCCCUCCAGGACAAGAGGCUGACAUGGCAUCUGUCGGGGCCUUUAGGGGGUGUUUUUUUUUUUGCCGCCUCCCUGAAAGUGCUGCCCAUGGCAAAUGCCUUGUCAGCCUCGUGGUAAAUACAAUGCUGCCUGCGGCACAAGCAAGGUUAGCAGAAAUGUAAAUUGUGUCUAUACUGGAUCGAUAAUAAAAUGCACAAAAUAGCACAAAAAACAAUCUCUGAUAUGUGUUUCAGGAUUAAAAAUAAGGCUUUUUGGGGGAUAAACACAUUCUAAUGUGUAAUAUAUCACGGUUGUUAUAUGACGCCUACUUCUGAAAUUUAUUUCGAUUUUUAAUGAGGUACCACAAGUUAACAUUUUCUUGUGAUUUAGUGCAAUAUUAGAUAUUUUUCACAAUUUACACUGUUAGUACUUUAAAUAUUUGUUUAAGCACACUUUACAUAUAUUGCACUGUUUAUAGAAGCACUCUACUUGUAAGGUUUUUAAAUAAACAAAGCUAGUAUCAUUGGUUGUGAGAUUCUCUUGCUCUCAUGUUUUCAUACUUUUUCUAAAUUGCUCCUAUACUGUUUUAUUUUAUUAUUUUGUUGUUUUCAUCUAUUUAGACAAGACAAAUGUAUUAUUGUGCAUUGCAAUCCAAAAAAAGAAGGCAGAAAAACUGCGUACCCACAGGGGUUAGCAUUGCUUUAAGUAACUGAUUAGAAUCAUCAUUCCUUUUAUGUCCAUCAGCUGUAUGAUGUGUUCCCAUCCCUGUAUGGCCAUUGGCCUGUGCCAUACUGUUUCACCCAGCAAAGCAUUAUAAUUUCACUGAUUGUUUCGAAUGAUUCACCCAUCCCUGUCAUAUGGUAUACAUAAGUCUGAGUUGGAUAAUUCUGUUUUUUACUUUUCAGACAUAAUCUGUGACCUUAACUGUCUAUUAAUUUUCCUUUACUGUUUUCAUUAGGUGUAAAACACUGUUAAUAUGACCUUUCUAAAGGAAUGAAUAGCAAUAAUAAUAAAAAUGAUGGUCUUUAGUGAAUCGACUUUUCAGUGGGAAUCUUUUGUUUCUGAAAACAUGCUUUUUUAUUUUAAAUCACAACUAAGCUGCUGAAUGAGCCAUUGCACCACAAGGCAAUUUUUCAGCUUCUGGAAAUAUAUGUUUACCGACUUUCAGGGUAACCUAGCUGUAUAUAAAACAACGUGACUGAAAACAAUCACACAGCUCGAAGCCAAUUUAAUUAAGUCCCAUUAAGGAGCUGAGGCUCCAGAAGCAUCCAGAGAAAGGCACUUUCUACAUCUUUUCAGAUGGUGCAUGCAUUUAAUACAAGGGUCAUUUCAAUGUGUUACUAUUACAGGAUUAUAGGAUUGAUAAAUUACAUAGUUCAUAUUUCCAUUUAUUUUUGAGUGGACCGAGGGAAUAAUUUCUGUCUGCAAGACAGUUGAAGGAGGGUGCCAGAUGAGGAGGAAUGGACAUCUUAAUGGGACAGGUCUGGAUCCCAAGCAAGUGACCAGUCACCCUUAUUCCAGUUACAAUGCCUUAGGUGCUUAGAGAAACCAUUUCAUUCACAACAUCACUUAUUGUGAAGUAUAUUUGCCAUGCUCUGUAAUACAGUGUCAAUGAUGUGGUUCUACAUUUGUAUCUGUUUCCUAGUGGAUCAUAUUUCAAUAUCACCGACAACUAUAUACCUUUGAAGAGCUCAUGAAUAUACUGGUCUUGAAUCUGUCUGUCCCCUCUGGUAUCCCUGAAUACCUGGCUUGAUCUCCUGUUGCCUCCACUUCACCAUCCAGUUCCUGGGAAAGGUCAUCUCACAGUGCUAAAUUGUGCAAGUAGCAGCAUACAGUUAUCAUGGGGUAAGUACACAUACACUGUGUUAUGGUGGCUGCUGAAAAAAGUUAGUGUGGCGCUCAGUUACAAACUGCAUUCUGUGAAAGGCUCUACAGUACGCGCUCUGCGCUGGACCUGGAUUCUGAGUGACAGCUGUUCGCAAGUGUGUACUCAUAUCCAGCGUUACCUGGGGUAAACAGAAGGUACAUCUUAAAGAGUAACACCAAUUGCAUCUGUACAUAUAAAAAGAAAGUAAACAUAAAAAGCACAUACAGCAGGAAAAACACACACAUAUGAGCAUCCCGCAACCCCAUGUGUAAGUAGCUAUGGGGAAUAAGAGUCUUCUGGCUAGCCAGGGUUGCCCCAAGACAUUGUGCAGCCUUGGUCCAAGGAUGAAAUGCUGCCUUCUUCUCACCAAACCCACGCCUAAUAUAACACACUCACAUCCAAUUUUUUUCCCCUUCAUCUCUCCAAUGCCACUUGGAGUUAAGCCAUCGGGAGGAAUUCCACAUAACGCUGACAACUUAUGACGUCUGAUAUCACUGCGUAUGUAGUGUUCGUGUUUGAAUGAAGGGGUGUAUUUGUAUGUAAUGUUUGUGUUUUAAUACAGGGAUUUAUUUGUAAAUAGUGUUGGUGUUUGAUUGCAACAGUGUGUUAAUAUUUAGUGUGGGCAUUUGAUGGCAGGGGUUUGUUUGCAUGUAGUGUUGGUGUUUCAUUGCAUUUAGUGUUGGUGUUUGAUUGGAGGGGUGUUUGAAUGUUAAUGCUGGGAUCUAUGCACAUAUACACACACACACAUAUACCCACACUGACACACACACAUAUACAGACAUACUGACACACACACACACACACACAUAUAUAUAAUACAACACAAAUCUGCACACCAGUCAAGCCAUAAGACUUGCUUUUCCCACAGGAAUCACAAAGCUGCAGUGAUGUUACUACCUCAAAGGAUUCUGGGUGGGCAUAAGCAAAUUAGUUCAACAAAGAAUCACAUUUUUGCCUCAUUCCAGGCAAUGUUGUGUGUACCAUGGAAGGUACACUUUAAAAUGUCACUUUCACCCUAUUACACAGAUAUUCUGAAUUUAAACAAAUAUGUUUAGUUUAAAAUGACAGACUUGAUAAUUUCCUUGCCCUUUUGGAGUAUCCCCCGUGAGUGGCAUGGACAAAAGAUCCAAUACUUAUAUUCAGGGGAAUCCAAAUUAUAUCAGUCUCGUGGAGUAGCAAUUAACACAAAUGGCUGUGAGUCCAGAAUUACUUCCUGCUCGUUUAUUCAAAGUAGGGUGUAUUUAUACACAAUAUUGUUGCAGUUUAGCUUGAAAGUUUAAAAAUAAAGUUUAAAAAUAAAUAAUGUAGUUAAAGAUAGGAAAAUCAUAAGAUAAAAUUAGUUAAUGUUGCUACAUAUUUCAUAAGAUAUAAAAUGAGUUUACAAAACAAUAUGUGGUUACAUAUUUUAUAAGAUAGGAAGGUCGCAGAGACAAAAUUAGCUAGCAAAUAGUCACACAAUGUACAGUUUCUCAAAAUAAGUACUCCAGUGGGGGCUAGAAUACACAGAAAACGCAACUUAUGCUGACACGUAUACAGCAUUUUAAAGAGAAAACAUUCAUUACAUAUAAAGACCAUCAGAUGUAGGCCUUAAUUUAAUUACGCUGAACAUUGGAAUCAAGAUAUAUUCUAUCACAGGAGCAGUGGAAACCAUUCAUUUAAUACUAUCACUCUCAGAUUUCCAAAGAAAAUCCUGGAUUUUUAAAGGGGGCUGUUUCGGACAUUCCUCUUCCCAUUGUAAUUGCUAUGUAAAUGCAUGUUCUACUUUGAAAUUAAAAUGAAAAAUGUCCUGCUACGGUAAUAGAGAACUCUUGGAAUGAGGCAAAAAUUUGAUUCUUUUUUGUACUAAUUUGCAUAUGCCCAGCCAGAAUCCUUUGCGGUAGUAACAUCACUGCAAAUUUGUGAUUCCUGUGGGAAAAGCAAGUCUUAAGGCUUGAUUGGUGUGCAUUUUUGUUCAACAUUGUAUUAACUGUCCCCAGACUUCAUGUGGAAGGUGUUUUCAAUCACAAUUUUUCCCCACCAUACCUUUUUUGGUAUGUAUAUACAGUGUGACCUCGGUUUACAAACACCUCGGUUAACAUAAUUUUCGGUUUACAAAUGAAAAUCCAUUGAAAAUAAUGCCUCGGUUUACAAAUUUUUUUUGCAAUACAAAGCAAGUUUCCCCAGGAUGCAUUGCACCUGGGAGGUUUAUAGCACUGCCCAGUGCAUGCUGGAGCCUGUGGGUAGCACGUGGCGUCGAGUGUGGAGGUGUGCUACCCACAGGCUUCGUUGUAUGCAUGCCUUUUAUUGUGUGUUCUGCAUUGUGGGUUGGUUUCCAUGGCAGCUCAUUUUAACUUUUUUUCUGACCUCCAGAACGGAUUAAUUGGUUUUCAAUGCAUUCCUAUGGGAAACCGCGUUUCGGUUUACAAAUGUUUCACAAUAAGAAACGUCCCGGAGAACGCAUUAAAUUCAUAAACCAAGGUCCCACUGUAUGUAUAUAUAUAUAUAUAUAUAUAAAUAUAUAUAUAUAUAUAUAUAUAUAUAUACCCACACACAUAUACAUACACACACACAAGUCUCAACUUAGUCUCAGCAUAUUUGUAGCCACUCCCCUGCUUCCAUGCCUUUUAGUUUCAGGAGUUUAGUUUAUUGGGCUGGCUGAGGCUGAUGGGAGUCUGAACCUGCCCAGGCUCUCUGUCUGCAGUGUGCUCCCUCUCUGUGCCUCCUCUGUCCUCUAGCCUAUAAACUGGGAGGAUCUCCCCAGCACUGGCUGUCGGUAUUAAAAGGGCCCGGUCUCACUACCAAGGGGCCGCAGCACCCAACUGAGCCUCUUAUCCCAUGUGCCCGACAAUCAUGUUUGCCAUAAGUGGAUGGGCUACCCGAUGGUCCCCCAUUACAUGCGGUCACCGACAGUAGUUCCACCAAUGGGGGGUGGCAAAUGCUGCAUGGGGCCAUGACCCUAUUGGAACCCAUGCACUGUCCCGCUCUGCUUCAGGUACAAGGUAGACAUGAUACAAGAUGGUCACACUCAGCGGAGGGGCCGGUGUAACAUAUAGGGUUUAUAUUAUUAUGUGUACUUAAGCAAAAAAACAUAAUUCUGGGAAAUGCCACCCUUAAACUAUUCAAAGAAGAAUGAACUAUGUAGGAAAUAUUAGUCAUGAGUACUUCCAGGUAAACCAACAUUCACAUGCUUUAUGACUUUUGGAUGAUUACAAACAACGUGCAUCUGCACGGGAGUGGAAUGUUUGCAAUAUUCAUAUAGGAUAUCGUAAACUUAGGCAGACGUGAGUUGUGCAAGUGUGCAGUCAAUGGUUCUCAUGGAUUUUAGGCCAGAUUUACAUGUCAGGUGCCUGUAGGCAGGGAAUUCUAAGGCUCCCCAUUCUCGCCCCCCACCCCAAUCCCAACAAAAAGAUAGACAAAUUGGGUUUAAUGUAAUUAUUAACUGAACAUUGCAGACAUAAAAAAUUGAUCUAAUGAAAUAUGUAUUUCAAUUUGACAACUGUAUAUGUAUAUACAUAUCUCUACUUGUAAUGUAUAGUGUUUGAAUCUGUGGUAUAGUGUGUGCAUGCCAUGAUCCAUGUUAGCAGUCCUUUAACACUAGUUUUGAGAGAAAGGAAUUGAAGCUCCAGAAGUCGGGGCUUGUGGUAACCAGGAAGAUAAGCAAUACAUUUCAACAGGUGGACUGCGCAAUCCAACAUGAAAGGACUAUGUUCCUUUGGAAGCUGAAGGAACCCAUAAAAUGUUGGCAACUUAUUAUUACUAUCGCCAUUUAUAUAGCGCUAACAGAUUCCGUAGUGCUUUAUAAACCUGAGAACUUUUCUAAUCAUCCAUGAGAAGAUCAUACAAAUCAGGGAUGCUUGCACAUGUCAAGUGACAACACUCAUUUAUGUCUCCAUCCCCCAUUUUUGUAUGUUUUUCUAGGGGCCCUCUGCUGUUGAUGAUUUGUCUUUCCCUCUCUCACCUGGCGAGCCCCUCUCACAGCCUCACCUGGUCUCCCAUGUUCCACAACUCAUUGCUGCUGAUGUUGGUGCUGAGGCAGUUGCUGGUUUCUGCAUGGGCUGCUGUAGUCAAGCCAUGCAUUCUGGGUACAACUUGCCAAGUUUCCUACUUUCCAGUGCCAUUUUUGAUAGUGAAUUGCAGCUAUGAAUAGGUGGCAAAUGUGUAAUAAACCUAUACGCUUCCACAGGUUAUUGCAGUGUGUGCUUGUUUCUUAAAGGUGUUAAAUGUACUUUUCAAUUAUUGUGCACCCUCAUAUUUGUUAUGUUUCCUAAUUGCCAUUUAAUUCUUCAAAUUGUUGAGGUAUGAAUGCUUGUAGUGAUUUUUCUGGUUAUGAGCUAACACUUUUUUGAGGUAUUGGUAAUUUGUUAAAAAAAACAAAAACAUUACCAAGACUUUUGGGGUUCUCAAUUCACCAUGUUUUCAAUGAUCUCAUCAAAUUAAUUUCUGGUAAGGGUGUGACUGAUAAAACUGCAAUGUUUAACAUAAGAUAAUAUUUUAAUUCUGAUAGAAGUGGUGUUGGAAAGUUUUUCGAUUGAUAAGAUGGUGAUCAUCUCGGCAUUGUAAACUGUUCAUCGUUAACAUUUUUGACAAAUACUAGAUAUGAGAUUGUAAUUUAUCUAUCAGUACAUAUCAGAUCAUCCUGAAUGUGUCUUUGUUCUUGGGGAUUUCUGCACAUAUAUGACUAUUAGAAUAUAACUGUGUAUGACAUACAGAAAUUGUCAUUAUAUUCCCAUUUGCCAUAGUUCUGCCAAGAUAACUGAAAAGAAAAAACGCAGGAGGCCUUAGCGGCUGUUAUUCAGCAGCAAAACGUGGUGGAAGAGAUGCAUAAGAUUAAGCAGCUUGUCUAACACAAAAGAAACCCUGUUUUUGUUAGUUGUUUAGUAAGUGGGUCAUGGAUAAAUUAAGAGAGGUUAAAGGGUCAUGUAACAGAAUAGCUAUUCUGAUCUCACUUCUAAUUGUAGGAUAUCUUUUUCUGGGACACUUUCAUUGACACUUGUAAUAAUUAUGACUUUUAUGUAGAGCUGGUAAGUUUACUACUUAUUAUUGUCAACAUACUAUAGAGCUCGAGUUCCUAAGAAGUUCUACUUCUUUAGAGUAAAUUUCAUAAUAGCCCUCUCUAGAAAUAAUACUGAGUAAGUAAUCAUCUGACUAAACUCUUGACAUUUACGAUGUAAUUAGGAAAAAUGUCAAGAGAUAGUGGUCAAAACCGCAUUAAUCUUAAACUGCAGGUUUUAUUUAUUUAAAUACUGAAUUAUAAUGAAUUGAAAACCAAAUCAUAAGAGACAAAAAAAGCUUAUUUGGGAAAAAAAAUGUCCUGCUCAGUUAUAACAACGUGUUGGCUAUUUUAGCCUAAAUGUUGUCCUUGUUUUCAGUUCACAUCUAUGUUUAGUUAUUUUAGUCAUUAACCCCUUAAGGACUGAGCCAAUUGGACAAGUUGCGAUUAAAACAAAACGUAAACAAAACCUGGAAUUUGCGCUAUAUGUCUGUUCUUUCAUAUUAUGUGCACCCACACUUAACAUAUAUCAUUUUGUUCAUGAGAAACAGGGAUUUCAUGUCACAUGAAAUUUAUUAUAGUAAACAUAAUUUAAUAUGAGUAAAAUAUUAAAAAAAUGAGAAAUUAAGAAAUUUUGUUACUUUUUAGUUCUGCAUGGCAUUUUAACUGUGAAUGUCAUAAUACUGUUAGCUGUUACUGCAAUAAAGUACACAUAUUUCUAUUCAGCGAUGUCUCACAGGUAAAACAGUACCCCCAAUGUACAGGUUCUAUGGUGUUUUGGAAAGUUACAGGGUCAAAUAUAGCACAUUACAUUUUUCAGUCUAUACACAUUGAGUAUAUCCAGUCUUUUCUAGUAGCCACUUAGCCACAAACACUGGCCAAAGUUAGCGUUCAUACUUGUUUUUGUUGGCUACAAAAAAAGACUGGACAUACAACAUUUGUAAUACCUUGGGUUGUCUACGUUUGCAAAUGGUAUGCCAUCAUGGGAGUAAUUUUAAUUUCUGGGCUACCAUACAGUCUCAAAGGCAACAUAACCAGUCUGGCAAAUUUCAAUGUAAAAAAAGGAAAUCCAAGCCUUAUAUUUGACUCAGUAAUUUUUGAAAACACCAUAAAACCUGUACAUGGGAGGGGGGGGUACUGUUAUACUCAGGAGACUUCGCCGAACACAAAUAUUAGUGUUUCAAAAUAAUAUCUUCAGUGAAAGAACCAAAUUUUUACUGACAAUAUCAUCGUUGUGAUAUGUUUUACUGUUUUUAAACACUAAUAUUUGUGUUCAGCAAAGUCUCCAGAGUAAAACAGUACCCCCCAUGUACAGGUUGUAUGGUGUCCUGGAAAAUUACAGAGUUAUUUAUAGGGCUUGCGAGCCAAAUUCUCUGGACUUACUGACUUACUGACAAAUAAGUAUAAUAUAUACAGUGAAGGAGAUGUGAGUGUGAUGUAUCACCUGAGUGGGAAACCCCUUAUACCACUCCAAAAUAUACACAAAUGCAAACAUACAGUAGGUGAAUCACACUCUUGGAGAUAUCUUAACCUCAGUGUGGGUCCCCACCUGAGAUAAAAGUCCCUUGCCGUGGCAGGCGAUAGAACGGGUAAACAAUGGGAGGAAACUUCAUAUAGAAUGCUAGCUGUAGAUGAUGAGCGUUCAGCUCAGCCGUGUAAGAUGAUCCAACCACUAGCAGCUGAUGGAAGUCACAGAAACAAGGUGAGGUGCGGGUUGAUUCUAAUUCAGAAUACACUGCGGUCGGUGUCUUCAAAAAAGACUGUGGUGUAGAAAGCUUCAGUUACUCAGUAAAUAAUGAGAAGACCGGAAGCAGUAGAUACGUGAUGUCGUCUACACAUUUCGUUCCCAAUGUGGAACUUUAUCAAGACCAGGUCCAGGCUGGCAUGAGUCCUGCUCCAAAGGCUGGCAUACCGUGUUUCCCCGAAAAUAAACCCUACCCCGAAAAUAAGCCCUAGUCGGAUUUUCGGGGUGGGCUGCAAUAUAAGCCCUACCCCGAAAAUAAGACCUAGGCAUUGUACCUUUGCGGUGAGACUUCCUUCUUCUGCUGUAGGAGGAGCGUCGCGCAACGUGAUGACGACAUUUUGCAGCGCCGUCAGUCUGCCUUCACGGAUCUUCAGCGGAAGGAUCCAUUUCCGGGCGGUGAGGCUCCCAGUGGUCGGACUCGGCAAGGAAUCUUUGAAAUGUGAGUACUGCUAGAUAUUUUAUGUCUGGGAUUUAUUGAAUUAAUUAAAGGGGGGUGAAUUAAUUAAAGGGGGGUGAAUUAAUUAAAGGGUGGGCUGGAUUAAUUAGAGGGGGUGAAUUAAUUAAAGGGGUGGUGAAUUAAUUAAAGGGUGGACUGGAUUAAUUAGAGGGGGUGAAUUAAUUAAAGGGGUGGUGAAUUAAUUAAAGGGUGGGCUGGAUUAAUUAGAGGGGGUGAAUUAAUUAAAGGGUGGGCUGGAUUAAUUAGAGGGGGGUGAAUUAAUUAGAGGGGGUGGAUUAAUUAGAGGGGGGUGGAUUUAUUAAAGGGUACCGUACCGGUACCGGUACCGUAAAUAAAUAAGCCCUACCCUGAAAAUAAGCCCUAGUGAGUUUUUUGUGACUAAAAUUAAUAUAAGACCCGGUCUUAUUUUCGGAGAAACACGGUACAUAAUGAGAGAUAAAAAGAAGAUGAGAAAAGAAAAGAGUCCUCAGGGUCCUGAUUAGCCGAUGCCUUGCGGGGUACUGGUGGCGCUCCUGCGUGGUACUCUAUUUCUCGGUAGUUCAAUGUAGGCAGGUUGUGGUGUUGCUGAGCUUGGAGGGUGCGCCUUCCGGCUCCAUUUAUGUGGUAACCGAGGCGUAGGUGACCGGUGUGGUGCUCUGCGGUCUGAAUGGGGCACUUUUUGCUGGAUCCCAGCUGUGGGUCGGGGUGGUGGGAUCACGGGGUCCCGCUUGGGAGAGUGAAUCCUGUGACAGACCCAGGGUUCAUAGAAGAACCGCUGCGUCUUGCAUGCUGUAGAUUUGGUGUGUUGUUUCGCCAUGUUGUACCAGGAGCGUGUAUGAGGACCGCCAGCGAUACGGUAUUUUGUUGCGCUGGAGUGUGGAGGUGAGAGGCCGAAGUGACCUGCGCCACGCCAGAGUUCCACUGGACAGGUCGGCGUAGAAGGUUAAUUUUGCAUUCUCAAACUGUAUGGGGGCUUUACCCCGGACGGCGGUGAGGACAUUUUUAAAGGUAAGUAUAGUGUCCCUUUUGGCCAUAUCUGGGGCCCCAGCGGGUUUUGGAAUCUGGAAGAGAUCUGUGGGUGUGAUGGCUUUGGCUUGGUCUAGGGGCAGCAUGGUGGUUAGCAGGUGCUUGAUUGUGUGCGGUAGGUCAGCCUCCGGCAACCCCUCUGGGAUCCCCCGACCUUUAUAUUGAGUCUCCGUCUUGUGUCUUCCUGGGUUGCGAAGCGCCGUUCAUACAGCAUAUUUUGGUUGCGCAGGUCCCCCAUAUCUUUCUGCAGUGAGGCGAUAGUGCGCUGCUGUUCUUGGGAGGAAUCCUCUAGUACUGUAAUGCGGCCUGCCAGGCCCUGCAGCUCUCCCCUUAGUGUGGUGACAUCCGCGAGGAUGUUUUUUUGUAGGUCCGCUAGCAGGGUCUUUAACACCCCGGUGGUUACCAGGUCGGCGUCUGGGUCCUUCCUUGGUUUGCUGGGUUUUGCCCUCUGCUUUGGGUCUGGGGCUGAGAGGCAUUCAUCUUCGGCUCCCCAUGAGCAGUUGUCUGAGAAAUUCGAGCAGCCUCCGUGGAGUGCCGCCAUAUUGGAUCCGCUCGGGCCGAAUGCCUGCCGAUACAUUUCCCCUAUUGUGAGUCCUGGGACUGGUUUGUCCGGCAUCUGUUUCUUGUGCUUGCGUCCCAUUAGGGCUUAUGGGGUUCCUGCUUGCGGUCAGUGGUUAUUGGGGGUAGUAUCUGCCGUUUUUAAGUGUAUUUUCUCAGUUUUUGCUCGGAGCUCCUGAGUCUUGCGUCUGCUUGCCUCUGCUGUUAGGCUCCGCCCCCCAAAAAUAGAUUUCUAGUUUUUCUUCUUUUAAAUAUAGUCUCCUACUUUACUGUGUUGAUUCCCUUUAUGUAUUUAAAUGUUUCUAUCAUAUCCCCCUGUCUCGUCUUUCCUCCAAGCUAUACAUGUUAAGAUCCUUUAACCUUUCCUGGUAAGUUUUAUCCUGCAAUCCAUGAACCAGUUUAGUAGCUCUUCUCUGAACUCUCUCUAACGUAUCAAUAUCCUUCUGAAGAUACGGUCUCCAGUACUGCGUACAGUACUCCAAGUGAGGUCUCACCAGUGUUCUAUGCAAUGGCAUGAGCACUUCCCUCUUUCUACUGUUAAUACCUCUCCCUAUACAAUCAAGCAUUCUGCUAGCAUUUCCUGCUACUCUAUUACAUUGUCUGCCUACCUUUAAGUCAUCAGAAAUAAUCACCCCUAAAUCCCUUUCCUCAGAUGUUGAGGUUAGGACACUAUCAAAUAUUCUGUACUCUGCCCUUGGGUUUUUACAUCCAAGAUGCAUUAUCUUGCACUUAUCCACAUUAAAUGUCAGUUGCCACAACUCUGACCAUUUUUCUAGUUUACCUAAAUCAUUUGCCAUUUGGCUUAUCCCUCCUGGAACAUCAACCCUGUUAAUGAUGUAUGCAUGUGUAUAUAAAAGUACUUAGAUCAUAUAUAUAUAUAUAUAUAUAUAUAUAUUUUUUUUUUUAAUUUAAACACUGUUUUAUAACUAUUAUUAUCUUAAACAAACUUAACUUUUUUACAGACAUGAGGGGGACAGCCUGAGAGGUCAGGCAGUCCCCUUACUGGCACUGCAUAAGCCAGCUAUUCCGGCUAUGUGAUCGCGAGGACCCCGUGAUCACGUGGCCAGGGGCUGGAUCAGGCAGAGGGGGUCUAUCUGAGCUCCCAGGCAGACCCGGGGAUCGCGACCGCCAUUGGGGGAACAGCGAGGACCCAGAAAGUACAAAGGACAGCGGGGACGUUUUAUGCCGCCUGCCGGCAUUUAUGACCGCCUAAAAAAGGACGGGAUAGAAUGCUCACUGUCAUUAAAGGAUUAAACCGAUCACAUUUUGCUGCCCAAAAAGAUACUAUGAAAUGUAUGGAAUCAAUGUUAAGGGAGAUAAAAAAUAGGAUGUUUUAUUAUAUUCUGUACAUAUUUUUAAACAAGGUCUUGAUGGCUUUUUAUUUAUUUUUUAUUAAAAACAGAAUAGUUAAAGGGACACUCCACUAACUAAAUUCAAAAUUUAAAAAAAAACACUUUUUAGUAUAUAUGCCCCAAAUGAAAAAUGCAUUUAAUUACACAUUUUUCAUUGGGGGGUAAAUCUAAAGAAAACAGCUUGCAGAACCUACAGAUCUCUUCUGUUCUGCCUGGCAAACCCUACCAAAUAAUAAAGUGUGUAUGAUAUAUGUCUUCAGCUGGUGACUGUGACAUGGUGAGUAAAGGGGUACCAGUGGCAGGGAGAGUGUGACAGGACAAAUUAGGUAAAUGGGGCAGGGUGGGGGGAGUUGUGAGAGAGAAUGAGGGAUGGUGAGUAUGACAUGGUUUUAUGAGGGAGUGUGACAGGGCGAGUGGAGGUAAGUGUGCCAGGGCAAUAGUGUCAGGGGGCCUUCUGUGAUGACCAUGGAUGUCCCCCAUGGUACUCACCUCUUACAGGAGGAGAAUGAUCCUCUCCAGCAUCCCUCUUCGUUCUCCAGCAUUUUUUUACGCUGGCCUCGAUAGCCCCGCCCCCUUUUAUGCCGCGGCGCGGGUGCAUCAACAUCAUAACGCUAAUGAUGUCACGUCCCGCCGAAAUGUUUGGUGGUGUGGUUACCAUCCUAACGAGCCACAGUAUAAAAAGGACUCAGAGGGCAAGGUUCAUUGCUCUGUUGUGGUUCAUUAUUGUUCCCUAUAGUGCUUUAUCUGUAUUCUGUAUUCUGGUUAUUGACUUCGCCUCCAUUUUGACUACUCUCCAUUCUAUACUCCUUUGACCCGGCUUUAGUAUUCUCAUUUACCCUGAUCUCUGUACUCCUUGACCUCGGCUUGACUCUGACCACUCUUUGUUCUUCUUACAUUAGUCCGGCCAUUCUAAGGUCCGGUAUACGUUACCGUUUGAUUACAUUCUGUGUGUUGGAUCCCAUUCCAUUCUUGACAUUACAACAGGGCCAUGAUUGAUCCAGCAGGUGUAGGCUCUCAAGGUUGUCCAUACGAUACCCUUUUUGAAGAAAUGGAUCAUCGUAUGGAUCAAAUAGCAUUAGCGUUCAUAACCCUUAUGAAUAGGUCCAUCCCCAGACCCGAAGAAAGUCGUAACCCUUCUACGAUUCCUGUACCCAUGGGAUUUGAGGUUGCUACUGUUGUGGCUUCAUCGCAUGUUACAUCACCAUUGCAUUAUGUUGGAGAACCUGAUGCCUGUCGGGGUUUUUUGAAUCAAGUUAGCUACAACCCCGUUCUUAUCCUACAGAUAGAGCAAAGGCUGGUUUCAUUAUUACCCUGCUAGUCGAUAAAGUAUUAACCUGGCUAAUCCUCUUUGGGAGAACGAGAAUCCAUUGGUGUACAAUUAUGUUGCUUUCAUAGCCGUGUUUAGACACACUUGUGACCCCUCUGGUAGGAAAGCCAAUGCUGCCAGAACCUUACUUCGCCUAAGCAAGGUACUAGAUCUUUGGUCGACUUCAGGUCCUUAGCCGCUGAAGUGACUUGGAACAACCAAGCUUUUAUAGAUGUGUUCCUUAAUGGUUUGUCUGAUGUGAUAUUGGAUGAGAUAGCUACCAGAGAACUCCCAGAGAACCUAGAGGAGUUGAUUUCCUUUAUAUCACGUAUAGAUAAAUGCAUGUGAUUUAGACAAAACACCAAAGAUCGCCUUAUCAAUGUUCCUACUAUGUCUCCUUUAUCCACAGAAGUACCCAAACAAUAUCUAGGCAUAAAGGCAGUAUUCAAUAAGAGAAAAGCUGAGUUAUUACCUCCUCAUAGACCCUACGACUGUGCUAUUAACCUUCUAGAGGUACUGUUUACUCCUUUUCUGCCAAGGAGAACUUAGUUUUGGACGAAUACAUUACAGAGAAUUUGAGGAAGGUUUUUAUUAGGUCUUCUUCUCCAGCAGGGCCUGGAUUUUUCUUUGUAUCCAAGAAAGAAGGUCCUCUUAGACCCUGUAUAAAUUCUAGAUUGAAUAAAAUUACCUUUAAUUACUGAGUUGUUUGAUAGUUUCAAAGAAGCCAAAUUUCUUACCAACCUAGAUCUUAGAGGGGUGUAUAAUCUUGUCAGGAUUCAUGAGGGAGGAGUGGCAGACAGCCUUUAACACUAUGGGCAUUAUGAAUUAUGCUUUUUGGGAUAUGCAAUGCCCCGGCUGUCUUCCAAGACCUCAUCAAUGACAUGUUAAGGGAAUUCCUUCAAGAGUGUAUUAUAGUAUACCUAGAUGAUAUUCUGAUUUAUUCAGACAAGUUAAAAAGGAAUUGACUAAACUGUUACAAAACGGAUUGUACUGUAAACUUGAAAAAUGCCUUUUUGACCAACACUAAAUCAGUUUUCUUAGAUGUGUGAUUUCAGGAAAAGGGUUUUCUAUGGAUCCCAAGAAAUUGUACUCCAUACUCCAAUGGCCACUACCUAAUGGGUUAAAGGCUAUUCAAACUAUUACAGACGCUUCAUAAAGAAUUUUUCGUCUAUAGUUGCUCCAAUAACAAACGUGACAAAAAAAGGUAUGAAUCCAAGGAGAUGGGAUUCCAAUGCGUUAAAAGCUUUUGAGAUACUUAAAACAUCUUUUGCAUCUGGCCCUGUUUUAGUGCAUCCUAAUCCUAGUCUAUCUUUUAUGUUAGAGGUAGAUGCUUCAGAGACUUGUGUAGGAGCUGUGUUGUCCCACUGACAAAGUCCUGACCUACCACUACACCGUUGCGGGUUCUAUUCUAGAAAAUUGUCUGAUACAGAAAAACGUUACGCCAUAGGAGACAGAGAACUCCUUGCUAUAAUCCUAGCUUUAAAAGAAUGGCGACACCUGUUAGAAGGUAAAUUACUUCCAGCGACUAUCCUAACAGAUCAUAAAAACCUCUCCUAUAUUAGAGAGGCCAAAGGUCUUUCUGCUAGGCAAGCCUGAUGGUCCCUUUUUAAAACAAGAUUUAACUUCGUGUUAACGUAUAAACCUGGUUUGAAGAAUUCUGAAGCUGAUGCAUUGUCCCGUCAAUAUGAACCGCUUGUCGAUUCUACUUUUGAUUCUAAUUUUGAGGUAUCUUCUAUAGUAACCAAACAACUCAUCAUAGCUAAUACUAGUAUCAGUCUCCCCUGGUGACGGAUAUUGCUGCUAAACAGUCACAGUCUCCUGGGGUUAUCCCAGAAGGAUGUCUAUAUGUUCCUCCUGAACACCAGAAUGAGAUACUUGUCCAUUUUCAUGACAGUAAAAUCGCAGGUCAUCCAGGUGUUCGCAAGACAUAUUCCCUAAUUGUCAAAGAAUACUGGUAGCCUUCAUUGCGAAAGGAUAGUAAUAAAUAUGUUAAGGCUUAUACGAUUUGCACAAGAACUAAACUGUCUUAUGCUCUCCCAUGUGGCUUGCUUCAACCCUUAGAUAGUCCUAAAAAAUCCUGGGUCAGUAUAGCCAUGGACUUCAUUGUCAUUGACCGGUCAAAGUGACGCAUUUCAUCAAAGUGGCGCAUUUCGUAAUUCUGGCGAAGUUACCCACAAGAUCUUUGCCAGUGAAAUAUUCCCGAUCUAUGGAAUACCUGGAGAAAUUAUAUCUGACAGGGGUUCGCAGUUUAACAAAAAAACCUGCACACUGGUUCCGCCUGCAAAUACCGGCCCUCUAUCGUGGAGGUGCUCUGUGUCAAAGGUGAACAACGCUGAAUCCACCAAAAUACUCAAAAAGGCAGAAGAACAGAGGCAACACUCUAUGAUCAAGAAGGUAAGUUUAUUUCUGGAUACACCACCUCAUAAAGUGCAAAGUACAACGUUUCGGCUCAACAGAGCCUUAAUCAUGCAGUUUAUCUCUAAAUAUUGGAGGGUUUUCUGUAAACAAUUGGGUAUAACUCUCAGUUUUUCUUCAGCUUAUCAUCCCCAAUCUAAUGGGGCAGCAGAACGUACUAAUCAGAAGAUCGAGCAAUACCUUUGAUGUUUUGUAUCUGCUCAUUAGGAUGACUGGGUUGGCUUGCUUCCUUGGGCUGAGUUUGCACACAACAGCUUAGUUUCCGAUGUUACGCAACUCAGCCCAUUCUUCUUAAAUGAUGGUUUUCAUCCAGUUGUUCUCCCAUCCGCGUUUUUAUCGCAGGGAAUGCCGAUUGUUGAUGUACACCUUGAAAGCAAGCUCAAUAUCUCCUCUCUAGCAAAUAGAACCUCGAUAAAAAAACAUGCUGAUAAGCGGAGACGUGCAGCCCCUGUAUUUCAACUGGGUGAUAAGGUCUGGUUAAGCACAAAACAUAUCUGCCAGAAGGUAGCUUCUAUGAAACUGGCACCUAGGUUUAUUGGCCCUUAUAAUUUGGUAGCCAUAUUAACCCUGUUGCUUAUCAUCUUGAUUUACCCCUGACCUUUCAAAUCCCUAAGGUGUUUCAUGUCUCUUUAUUAAAGCCUCUGACCUGUAAUAGGUUUACCAGUCAUAUUGUUGCCCCUUCAUCAGUGCAAGUGGAGGGUAGGAUGGAAUACGAUAUCCGAUCUCUUCUUGAUUCUCCUUUCUCUCAUGGUAAAUUGCAAUAUGUGGUGGAUUGGAAAGGCUAUGGUCCUGAAGACGUCUUGAGUUGACAGUUACGAUGUCCAUGCUCCUCGUCUUCUCCGUUCUUUCCGUUCCCGUUUUCCAUCUCGUUCGGGGCCCUUCCGCCUGGUGGGUGGUUCUGGAAAGGGGGGUUCUGUCUGGGUGCCUUCUGUGAUGACCAGGGAUGUCCCCCAUUGUACUCACCUCUUACAGGAGGAGAAGGAUCUUCUCCAGCAUCCCUCUUCUUUCAGGCAGGCUGCGAUAGCCCGCUCCGUUUUAUGAUGCGGUGCGAUUGCGUCGACGUCAUGAUGCUAAUGACGUCAUGUCCUGCCAAAAUGUACUCCUUUGACCCAGCUUUAGUAUUCUUGUUUACCUUGAUUUCUGUACUUCUUGACCUCGGCUUGACUCUGACUAGUCUUUGUUCUUCUAACAUUAGUCCGGCCAUUCUAAGGUCCGGUAUACGUUACCUUUUGUCUACAUUCUACGUGUUGCAUCCCAUUCCAUUCCUGACAAAUAGUGGCAUGGUAGGGAUGAGUAUGACAGGAUUAAAGGGGUUAAUGUGACAGGGUAAGUGUGGCAUAAUUGUGGGGCUGUAAGUAUCACAGGGUUAGUGUGAAGGGUGAAUGUGGCAUGGUUGGAGGAGGGAGUGUGACAGGAUUAAGGGAAGGUUAAUGUGACCGUGGGAGUGUGGCAGAGUGUGAUGGGAUUAGAGGCAUUAAUGUGACAGGAUAAGUGUGGCAGGGUUGGGGGGAGAGUGUGACAGAGUGAGAGAAGGUGAAUUUAGAAUUAGGGGGUUAAUUUGACUGGGUGAGUGUGGCAGAGCGAGGGAAGGUGCGGGUGUGACAGGAUUAGGAGUGGUUAAUGUGAGUGUGGAUAGGUGAGGGGGCUAAAAAAUGGGGGGUGACAGUGUGUGAGUGGUGACAAUGUGUGGGGAGGCUGACAGUGUGUGAGAGUAUGGUGCCACCACAUUGUGGGGGAUGACUGUGCGUGUGAGGCAGGGUGACAUUGUGUGUGUGUGGGGGGGGUGACCCUGUGAAGGACAGUGGGUGAUCCUGUAAGGGACAGUGGGUGACCCCUUGAGGGACAGUGGGUAACCUUAUGUUGGACAUGGGUGAAACUGUAUCACUGUAUGGGAUGAGGGUGACACUGUGUGGGAUGGGAGUGACACUCUGUGAGAUGGGGGUGACACUGUAAGGAAGGGAGUGACACUCUGUGAGAUGGGGGUGACACUGUGAGGAAGGGGAGUGCUAUAGUGAGGGAGGGGAGUGUUAGUGUGAGGGAGGUGGGUCUUAGUGUGAGGGAGGUGGGUGAUCGUGUGUGGGAGGGGGUAAAACUGUGAGAGAGUGUGUAAUACUGUGGGGGGAGUAGGGUGAUGGUCUGGGAGAGGGGUUAAUACUGUGAGGGAGGGUGUAAUACUGUAAGUAAGGGAGAUGUAUAAGAGGGUGCGAUAUGUGGGGGGUGGGAUAUUGUGAAGGAGGUGAUAAUAGAGUGGGGGGAUACUGGGAGGGAGAGGGUAAUACUUUGAAGGAGUAGUUCCUGAGAGGGAGGGGUUAUAAUGUGAGGGGGAUAUUAGAAGGGAGGGGUUGAUGGUGUGAGGAAGGGGGUGAUGGUGUGAGGGAGGGGAGAUGAUACUGUGGGGAGGGGGGUAAUGCUGUGAAGGGGUAUUCUGCGGAGGGGAUACUGGGAGGCACGGGGUUAAUACUGGGAGGGAGGUGGGUAAUAUUAUGGGGGUGGGAUACUGGGAGGGAGUUGGUGAUAAUGUGAAGGAGGGGAAAACUGUGAGGGAGGGGGGAGAUAGUGUAAAAGAGGGGGGAUACUGGGAGGAAAUGGAUUGAAAAUAUAAAAGAGGGAGGGAUUGAAAGUGAAAACGGGGGGAAUGGGAGGGAGGGGGUUAAAGGUGGGAAAGAGGGGGUACUGGGAGGGAGGGGGUUGAAGGUGUGAAAGAGCGGGUACUGGGAAGGAUGGGGUUAAAGGUGUGAAAGAGGGGGGAUUACUGGGAGAGGGAGGGGAGAAAAAGAGGGGGAUACCGGGAGGAAAUGAUUGAAAAUAUAAAGAGGAGGGAUUAAGUGAAAACGGGGAAUGGGAGGAGGGGGCUAAAGGUGGGAAGAGGGGGCACUGAGGAGGGGUUGAAGGUGAAAGAGCCGGGUACCAAGGAUGGGGUUAAAGGUGAAAGAGGGGGAUACUGGGAGGGAGGGUUUGAAGGCUGCAGGGGGGAUACUGGGAGGGGAUGGGGUUAGCAGAAAGAAGGGGAGAUACUGGGAGGAUGAUGGGGAGAGGGUGAUAGAAUGAAAGUGUGGGAUACUGGGAGGGGGUGAAUGUGUUAAGGAGGGGAGAAACUGGGAGGGAAGGGGUGAUAGAGUGAAAGAGGGGGGAUACUGGGAGGGGGUGAAGGUGUGAGGGAGGGGGGUGUUGGUGUGGAAGGGGGAGUGUACUGGGAGGGAAGGGGGUGAUUAAAUACCAUUUUUUCCCCUGGUGGUCCAGUGUGGGCUCCCAGGCGGUCCAGUGUUCAGGAUAUCCGGUCUGCAGCUCCGCAGUGUGCAGAGCUGCAGACCAUGUAUCUUGCGAGACCUGCGAUGGGUGCUCUCUGGCUGGGCCAGGCAGGCUGGAGGGACCUCGCACCCGGCGACAUACUGAGCAAGCCGCCGGGUCCCCUUCUGGUGUCGGGUCCUCGGUCAUUAACCAAGAACCCAACACAGUCUGCCCUGAGGCGGUUCAGGCAGCCCAAAGGCCCCAAAUAGCGCGUGGCCAUAGGCAGCCGCCUAAGCCGCCUAAUUAGAGUCAAAAUGUUUAAGAGGUUCUAUAAUUGUGAGCAUUUUUUAUUUUUACUUAACUUUGCUGAUUUACACAACAAUAUUUUACUAUUAUAUAUUUCUUUGUUUGUCUCCAUUUAUAUACUAACAUUCAUGCUGCAUAACCUGAUAACCUUACCUGAUGGUAAGCUUUGAUUUGUUAGCAUGAAGUGCCGAAGUUGCCGAAGUUCAGAAGUGUCAAAGUGCUGAAGUGCCGAAGUUUCGAAGCACAGUUUUGCCUAAGUACUAAUAUACUUACCCAGUGGAAGAAUGAAAAAUGUUACACUGUAUACAAGUUUAAAUAAAAAGUAUACAAACAUAGCCAGGAUUCAGCUGUAAGCAUUUGCAACACUUACACUUACCGUGGGAAUUAGAGAGUUAUCUACUAAGCGACUGCAAGAGAAGUCCCGAAAUGCCGAAGUUCCGAAAUUCCAAAAUGCCGAAGUUCCGAAAUUCCAAAGUGCCGAAGUUCCGAAGUUGCUGAAGUGCCGAACCGAACCGAAGUGCCGAAGCUCCCCAUGCACAUGCCUAGAGGUGGGUAAUAUCAUCUAAAUCAUAUAAAGCACUUGUGUUUGUUCACUGUUUAAAGGACCACUAUAGGCACCCAGACCACUUCAGCUCAAUUAAGUGGUCUGGGUGCCAGGUCCAUCUAGGGUUAACCCUGCGUGCUGUGAACAUAGCAGUUUCAGAGAAACUGCUAUGUUUACAUAUGGGUUAAUCCAACCUCUGGUGGCUGUCUCAUUGCAUUGCGUUGAUCAUUUGGUGGAAGAGGGAGGAGAGUCCCCAGCGCAGAGGGAGCCAGGUGCUGGAGAAAGGUAAGUGUUUAACCUCUUCCUCCCACGUCAGCCCAGCGGGAGGGGGGCCAUGGGGGGGGGGAAGCUAUUAAUACUAUAGUGCCAGGAAAACGAGUUUGUUUUCCUGGCACUAUAGUGGUCCUUUAAUUUAUAAAAGUGUUAAUUUCCACUGAAAUAUGCACUGUUUUCAAAAUGAAAAAAAGGGGACACACUCUUUACACAAAAAACUGUAGUGGUUUGGGGCGUGGGCAAGGGCUGUGGUGGAGAACCAGGGACUGUAGAGGGGGGAAAGGGCAGUAGUGGGGGGGACAGAGGCUCUAGUGGGGGGGCAUGCGCUGUAGAGGUGGAGCAGGGGUUCUUAAGUGGGCAGGGGCUGUAGUGAGGGAAUAGAAGCUAUAGAGGUAAAACUGCAGCUGUUGUGCAGGGGACAUGAUCUAUAGAAGGGGACAGGAACUGUAGAGAGAGGCACAGGGGCUGUAGAGGGGGGCAGGGCCUGUGGUGGGGGAGGGCAGGAGCUAUGGGAGAGGGGAGGAACAGGGAGGAACUAUAGUGGUGGGAUAGGGCUGUAGAGGUGAGACAGGAGCUGUACUGGUUGGACUGGAGCUGUAGAGGAGGAUACAUGGGCUGUAGAGGGAAGGACAAGGGCUGUAAUGGGGGGACAGGGGCUGUGGGUGAAGGACAGGAGCUGUAGAGGGGGGACAGGGACUGCUUGAAAAAGUUAAAAUAACAAACAUGUAUUCCCCCCCUCCCUGAGGCUUACCUUGGGCCAAGAAGGGUGAAAACUUAUCCCUGGUGGUGAGAUAGGAGCUGAAGCCUGGAGAUCAAGACAGGUCCGCUAGGGAGUCUGGAGUAGAACACUAGUAGUCAUGCCCUCCUCCUGACAUCUUCAGAAGAGGCCAGCCGACUUUACUGCCAAGCUGAUGUCUGAGAGUGAGAUAGGUUGCAGUGAUUUGAAAAAUUAGAGUCCUAGGCCAGAGGCAGGGAAAUCUGAUAUUUGCACAGGCCUGCUCUGGCGCCCUAGGGUGGCAACCUGUGCCACCUUAUGAACGUGCCGGCACUGGUCACAGACAUUGGAUGUGUGGCUAGGGCUGCAUAAACAGAAACAGAAAGGGAUUUAACUCAUAAAUGGCAGAUAAAUAAGCAGUAAGAUUGCAGGGGCAUGAUCCAUACACAAAAACUGCUUUAUUAAGUUGUAUUGGUGACUAUAGUAUCCCUUUUAUUACUGUGUGCUUUGAAAAAUAUAUAUUGGGUCCUGCAUCUAUCUGCAUCUAUUGCAAAACACAAGGUAAUACUUUAUAAAAUGCACUUUAUUUUACAUUUCUCCGUGAAGAGCAGUCUGCAUACAAAGGUGUUGUUUUGUCCCUAUUUAAUGAAAUAUUUGUGCAUCCCAUGUUUCAAAUAAAUCUUACAUUUCAAUUUCAAUAACCACACAAUCCAUGGUACUCAUGUUCUUUAUUUACAACGUGCUCGCGGUAAUACGGUUAAUAAUAUCACAUUUUCAUGGUCAGCCUAUCUUCUUGUUGUAAUUAAUCCAAAUCAUCAUUUAUCAAGGCUUGUUACAAGGAAUCACAAAAGAUAUCUUCGGUCCAAAGAAUAUAUCUCUAAAAAGAAAAGGCAAAAAACCUUCAAUAAACAAUACAGAAAUAAAUGUAACUAAAAAAAAAUAAAAAUGUUUCUUGAAUGAUUAUUCUAAAUGUUAUUCACAGUGUCCAUGAUUUAUCAUAGAAUUGUAUUAAUGUUAGUAAUUCUGAGCAGAGGAAUUACAGAGUUUAGUACUUUAGAGUAUAAGGAAAUAUACAUGGAUAUUCUCAAUCUGUUGGUUAAAGAAAUAGAACAGAGCUUGCAUUGUUAGUGUAUACUGACUCUCCUCUGCUGCUUUCACAGCCAAAAGGCCUGGUUACAAUUGGCAGGAAAAUCCAGAGGUCUCUGAGAAACAUAUUUUCCUGCUCCAGUAUCAGAAUAGCAUAAUCUAACCAACCAAUUAAAGGGACACUAAAAGCACCCUGACCACAUCACCUAUUUGAAGCUGUCUGGGUGCAAUGUCCCUGUCCCCUUCGCCCUGCAGCUGCAAACAUUACAGGUUUAAGACUGUCUCUAGAGCCUGUCUACCAAACAGCCACUAUAGGUGCUUCCUGACCUUUCACAGAGUUUCAUUGUCACUGGAUGUCCUCAAGCUUUGCAUGAGGACAUCCAGCGUUUUCUAAAAAUCAGCAUCUUCUGAAAUCUACACUUAAAAUUUUUUUAGGGGUCGGAAGUGUUAACUUUUUUUUUUGUUCUCCCUUUCCUGUUAAAUGUAUAUUAAAGAUUUAGCAGUUUGGCAUCACAGCUCAGUUUAGUCCUGGCAUGGCCAGGGCACACUAUGCAUUAGGGAAGGAGUAGCAGAAACAUUGGGGGAGAUUUACCAAAAUAUUCAGAAAAGUGUGUCUUUAUAUUUGGUCCCUAAUCUAUAACACUAUAUUUGUAUGCUAUUAUUAUUUUUUACCCAUUGGUCCCUAAUCUGUUUGUAUUUAUUAAAUUUUUUUUAAAAAUGGUAUAAAAUUCUUUAAUCUAAUCUGUACCUAAAUUCCACAAUUUUCGCACAAAAGUCUAUUUUUAAAGAAAUUCUGACAAGUUUAGAGUGUUGGAAAUCAGCGAAGUGAAACAGAAAACUUUUCUGGCAAGAAAAGUGGGGAAAAUAUUGAUGAAUAGUGAUGUCCCGAACGGUUUGCCGAACCGUUCGCGAACGGUUCGCCACGAACGGUUCGCCACGGACUCAUCAUUGAGUAAACUUUGACCCUGUACCUCACAGUCAGCAGACACAUUCCAGCCAAUCAGCAGCAGACCCUCCCUCCCAGACCCUCCCACCUCCUGGACAGCAUCCAUUUUGAAGCUGCAUUCUUAGUGAGCUGUCCAGGAGGUGAGAGGGUCUGGGAGGGAGGGUCUGCUGCUGAUUGGCUGGAAUGUGUCUGCUGACUGUGAGGUACAGGGUCAAAGUUUACUCAAUGAUGAGUCCGUGGCGAACCGUUCAUGGCGAACCGUUCAUGGCGAACCAUUCGUGGUGAACCGUUCAUGGCGAACCGUUUGUGGCGAACCGUUCGGGACAUCACUAUUGAUGAAUCAUCUGUUGUGUGUCUGAUAAAAUGACAUAUAUUAAAAAAAAUUACAACUAAGGCUUAAAGAAGGAACUAAAUUGUAAAAAAAUAAUAAUCUGAUUUAAUAAAUGAAUAAAACAGAGAUAAGGGCCAAAACAAGGUGCAAACUGUCUGCGGCCCUUUGAUAAAUCACCCCUGUUGUAUCUGCUUAUCCUCCUUCUUCCAUUAAUGACAGAAAAUGGCAUAACUUAUAACACCGAUUAACAAGGAAACAGAUGGAGGUGCUCUGUUAAUUGAUAAGUCAGUGGUGCAGAUAUCUAAAUUUAAUUAAGUUUUUUCAGACCUCAAACACGUAUUUGUUAAAUAUAGGGAAUAACUAACCAUAUCAUACCAUACCCUAUAUCUACAUCCUUAAAAGUAACAGUUACCCUUUUGGGCAAUGAAUCUGGCUUUCUCUUUAACAUAUCUUUUCAAUAUGAAAACACAAUAUGCAUAGGUAGCACUUUUUAUAUUUUUACUGCUCUGAGUUCAAAAUGUAUCUUAUGCUAAAUGAAAGAAUUCAUUAAAACACGAGACAAACAUUAUUACAGCAUUUAGUAAAAGAAUGGCAGAUCAUUUUCGUAAAAUGCAUGUCAUCUUGCAAAAUCAUAUUUGUGUCCUCAGUCGGAUAAAAUUUAUUUAAAUACUUUGGCACCUAUAAAAUUAUAUUCUUAUGAAGCAGUCAAAUGUUACCAGAGCUAUCAAAAAGAAUAUUUUAAGUAACAUUAUAUCCUGUCUGAUGAAAAGAACUGUGCAAAAUUAGAUUUAAGAUUUGUGACGACGUUCUGAAUAUUUUGCCAUUAUGAAUUUGCCUCUGAAAAUAGAAGAAUAAACUAUUUCAGAGAGAAAUGCGGGAAUAGUUAUUACCAGUAAGGAGUUAUGCUUUGCACCGUCUGGGGAUGCAUAAUAUGUUUAAGUAAUGUUACUUUUCAGCCUGUUACAUUUAUUCACCCUUGUUUAGAACUGGUUGUAUUUAUUAUCAGAAAUAUUUUAUUGUUGUAAGUAAAAUAGUAAAAUAUAAAGUAAAAUAUGAAGAAAGCAAGAGAGAAAAUAGGUUAAUUGAGUCUUCCUGUCAGGGUCUACUUCCCAACACUGUCCCCCUGAUUUUUGUCAAACAGCAGGCUACCCAUAUCCCCAGAAACUGCUCCAUCUUCAGCUGCACUGAUUAUUAUUAUUGCCAUUUAUAUAGUGCCAACAGAUUCCAUAGCGCGUUACAAUAUUAUGAGAGGGAGGAUUUAACUAUAAAUAGGACAAUUACAAGAAAACUUACAGGAACAAUAGGUUGAAGAGGACCCUGCUCAAAUGAGCUUACAGUCUAUAGGAGGUGGGGUAUAAAACACAUUAGGACAGGAAAUAUCAAUCAAAUGAGGUAGGAGUGAAGCAGGGCUGGAGGAGAGAGUAAACUGCUGCCCUAUAGGAAAGAGCAAGAGACAGGUGUGUAAGGUAGAGGUUACUCUGAGAGGCCAUAAGUUUUUCUAAAGAGAUGGGUUUUAAGGCACUUCUUAAAGGAUUGAAGACUAGGGGAGAGUCUGAUGGGGGUAGGCAGGCUAUUCCAUAGGAAGGGAGCCGCCUGCGAGAAGUCCUGCAAGCGCGAGUUGGCUGUACGGGUGUGAGCAGCAGUCAGGAGGUGGUCACAGGCAGAGUGGAGGGAACGAGGAGGGGUAUACCUAUGGAUCUGUGAAGAGAUAUAAGAGGGGCUAGAAUUGUUCAGGGGUUUAUAUGUAUGUGUUAGCACUUUGAAUUGACUCCUAUAGGAUACAGGAAGCCAAUGAUAAUACAGAGUUUACACUUCUACAUCAGCAAUGUCAAUUUCAGCCAACCUGAAUGAUGGUUGUAGGUUGAGAAUGCUGGGUGUAGGUUUAGCACACCACUUUGAACCAAUCACCACCAUGAUAGCUCAGCAUGGUGGUGGUGAGAGCAAUGGCUGCUGUGUUAGUCACAGGGGCACUGUGAUUUGAGUUUACUGAUUGGUUGUUAGGGAUGUUAGAGCUAAAUUGAUAAUUAAAAUCAUUCUUUUAUAAGACAGUGUGAUUAUUUUCUGAUGUAUGGGCAGCUGUCUCAUCUAAUGAGGAAUCAAAGACUUGUGUGACAAAGUGGAAGUAUGUAUAUAUGCAUGAUAUAACCUUACCAAUAGGUCAUAGAUAUAAUCAUUAGUUCUGAAAUAUGCUCUAGCAGUCACAGUUUGCUGCAGGCCUGUUGUGCAUCAUUAUAGCCAUUAUGAAUAACCUGAAAAAUGUUUUACUGUUGCUAUCACAACUGAAACAACUACUUCCUAAGAAUAAAAUGUUAAAAAGUAACUGGCGGACAAAUUAAAGAUAUUUUAACAAAAGAAAAAUAAACAAUUAGUCAUUCUUACUUUGGACAGCAGAGCAAUUCAUUAAAAUUACAGUAACAGACCAUCUCACAUCUGUUCCCUUCCCAAAACAGGUCCUGGAGAUUUUCAUCCAGGGAUCUAAGAUGGUCCAGUCCCUCUGGGAUGUUAUGACAAUUUCGAUCCCUCAGGAUUUUCUUGUAACAGGAAAGUCGACCAGUGGGGGUUGAAAUUACUCCCAAGACGGCAACCAUGAAAACAACAACCUGUACAAUCUUCAUAUUUCCCUGUAUAUAAAAUGUUUUAUCUGAAAAAAAAAAAUUAAUUAUUCACUGUAAGGGCUUUAGAUAACUUCACUUAUUUUGGACAUUUAGAAGAAGUAUGCACUUUACAUUUGAUUACAUUUUAUAUAUUAUGUUGCAAUUUAAUGUAUACAUCUCUUUAAAUAGACACAAUUACUUUCUUAGUACUUUAUUGGUCCUGACAUCAAUUUAGGCCAGCCGCAGGACUGCACGUGCAAGUCACUUGAUACACUACAUAUACUGAAACAGGUAUUUUGUUAAGAAGAUUCUCACAUUUAUUGAAAAUUUCUAGUGUCCAAAGUAAAAAAUUAUAUAUAAUCACUUACAUGACUAAAGUUUUGUGCAAAUGUCAUGUGUCAGUGAUUUUUGUAUUAAAACUUGCAAUAAGGGGGCGUGGCCUGACCGGGUAUGGAGUGAGACGCAUCUCCCUGCAGCUCCUAGGCCCCAGCUCACUACGGCACCGAUAAACGAGCACGAAUUGACCCUAGAUGGGUAAGACAAAGAGGCUACUCACCCCUGGCCCCUCACAAAUGGGCUCACCGAGCCGCACAGCGGGUCCCAUGGACGGGUACCUCGGAACGCCGCGAGACAUGCGGGCGCACCAGGCCGCGGCCAAAAUGGCGCCGCCCUCACCGGACGCCAGCAGCUCAGACAGCCCAGCAACAGGCCCAGUCAGAGAGGAGUCACUGACCCAAAUUGCAGCAGACUUGGCCACAAUAUCUGCGAACAUGAUGUCCAGGGCAGAUAAGACGGACCUGCUCGCUGAAAUUAGGGCAGUAAUCAGAGAGGAGGUCAUGGAGGUGAGGAGAGACCUGACAGCACUAGAACGCAGAGUGGAGGAACUAGAGGCAGAACGUGCCCAAAUAAUACAACACCGCCAAGCCACAGACACAGCCACUACUAGACAAGGCAAUGUCCUGCUGGAGUUAAGAAGGAAUCUGGAAGAUUUGGACAACCGCGGACGGAGGAACAACAUCCGCGUCAGGGGACUCCCUGAAUCAGCAGGGGAAGCACUACCAGAGCUCCUGCUGGGCCUGUUCACACACAUACUAGGGGACAGAGCCCCGGCAGACUUUGGAAUAGAACGUGCACACAGAGCCCUGCGCCCCGUGACCGCUGAGGGACCGCCUAGAGACGUAAUCUGCUACCUGCUCUCCUACUCGUUAAAGGACGAAAUCAUGAGGGAAGCAAGAAAUCAGAAGAACCUCACCUACAUGGACGCCCAGAUUUCCCUAUAUCAGGAUCUCUCAGUACUCACCCUGGAAGCGAGAAGGGCACUGAGACCGCUAACCACCCUGCUUAGAGAGCGGCGGAUACAAUACAAAUGGGGAUUCCCCUUUAGCUUACAGGCAAAGGUGAGCAACAUAUGGCAUAUCAUACGCUGGCCAGCAGACGUGCCACGCUUCCUCCGAGCCGCGAACCUCCCAGCAGUGACAGUCCCAAAUUGGGUCCUGGAGAGACAGCCGCAACGCCCAAACGCUCCAAAUAUCAGGCCGGGUACGGGCCUUACAGGAGCUGGGUUCCGCAGAGGCGGCCCGGAUAGCCAUGAAGAAUAGCAGAUUCAAGAGCCCUGGAGGGCAGCGACCGGCGCACCCACCGACGGAGGUACACCCCAGUUUUCACACCCCCAUUUAACUCCAGAAACCACGCCGCAGGGAGACAGACUACCGGACCGCUCCCCCAAGGUUGAUGCGGAGAACAACCUCCGUAAGCAGAAGCUGACACACCGCUGGGUAUGUACUUACACCCCUACCCUGGGCCCGUAGCAGUUACGCACAAGUCAGAGUUGCUGGGACUUGAGACAAUGGAGUGCCACAUUUUUUUUUUGGGGUGGUGGGAUCUGUGGGGAUCGGGUACCACCCGGGGACGAUGACGACAUGGAGGGGGUCCCCCCAGAUUUAUAAAGACUCGGGCUCCGGCCCAUAGAAUCCCCCCUUUGGGUGGUUGGGGUAGGGGGGAGGCAUUGGCGGACUCCAACUACCUGAGUGGCACCCCAAGAUAAAGUCUGGACAGUCCCAUGAUGUCCCAGAGGGUCCCGAGAUUCAAGCUCCGCCCAUCCCCCGAAGGGACUAGCAAGCCAACUAGCAGGAGAGGACACCCAGCUGGAAUAGGGAGAAGAGGAGGGGGGUGUGGUCCCUAGGGAGGGGGGAGCGGGGAAUGUCAGAGGCGGUGGUUUGGUCUUUACAGUUGUACUUGUUAUUGUUGUUGAUAAAGUUCACAUGCUCCAUACCAUUCCUAGAGGGGCACACACCUACACAAGGGGGCUGGUAACACACCUGAGCCCAAGGGGCCGGGGAGGUUAGGCCGGGGCGGGGACACCCUGAGAGGCCGGACCCGUUAGGUAGCUACAGGGCCCGAAUACUGACUAGACACGCAUUACUUAGACCCUCAAGAACAGAGAGGAAAAUGGACAAUGGGGGGGGUACCCUCGUACUACUUCACCAUACCCGCAGGGAAAAUUCCAAUUAAACAAAACCAGUGGGCUGGGUGCCGUGAGAGCAGUGCGAUUCAUACGACGGUUCACCCCAGAACGGACGACCCCCGUACCUCACGUGACGGACUCACACUGUACAAACCCUCGGGGGCUACUCUGGUGACAUACCUCGAAGGGAAUAGACACCGGGGGGCGACUGACCCCGAGGCGAGUCGUAGUCACCUAUACCCCGACCCACUAACCUUCCCUGACUUUGACUGGACUACUCUACUUCCCCCCCCCGAACCUCACCCCGUGAUAUUCUGACAUACCCAUACCCCUCCCCACGAACAGCUAGGGAGGGGCACUAACUAUGUGCCGGCACCGCUUAACCUGUGGUCGAACAACGUUAGAGGUCUAAACGUACCCGCGGUCUCAGCUACUCAGUACUCUCUGGGCGGAACGCAUCUCGGUGGCGUUUUUGCAGGAAACGCAUCUUAAAGGCGUGGAGGCCCCCACCCUGAAAAACAGAAGGUUCCCCACAGGCUAUUACUCCAACCAUGCCGACCAAAAAAAAGCGGGGGUGGCGAUCCUCUUUUCACAUACGGUCCCGUUCAUAUGCACAGAGCAACGAAUAGAUCCAGGGGGUAGAUACUUAUUCAUCAAAGGAACCAUAGCACAACACCCUUACACAUUCGCAUGCCUGUAUACCCCGAACCGUAACCAACAUGUCUUCCUAAAUAAAACACUCACUUUGCUCAACAAGUUCAGAGAGGGCUUACUAAUUAUGGCAGGAGAUCUUAACACUCCGUUAGACGCCAGAUUAGACACCUCAAGGGGAGAAAGCUCAAUACCAGGUCAUUGCAUACGCGCAGUCGGGAGAGCUCUGACAAGGAGUGGAUUGGUGGAUUGCUGGAGGGUGGCGCAUCCUGACGGCAGGGACUAUUCCUAUUACUCAGCUGUACAUCAGAGAUACAGUCGGAUUGACUAUAUCUUUAUGGCACAGGAAGCCCUGACAUUAGUCCGCAAGGCUAGCAUAGGCCCGAUUGCGGAGUCCGAUCAUGCCCCGGUCUCAGUCCAGAUCCAAUCCCCACUACACAAACCAGCGGAAAGGCACUGGAAGCUAAAUGAGAAUAUGCUGCUUAACCUGGGUGACACUGACCCAGUUAGGCAAACUCUAACACAAUACUUCGACACUAACACAACCCCCGAUGUCUCGCCCUUGCCGGUGUGGGAAGCACAUAAGUGUGUAGUACGGGGACACUAUAUUAAGGUCUGUUCGCAAUGGAAGAAAGAACAUACACGACAGCUGACAACAUUAAACACUCAAAUAGCCAACCUAGAGCAAGCUCAUAAACAAAGUCAGAACGAGGACACGUUCCUCCAUCUAACAGCGCUCCGGAGACAGAGAAGGGACAUAUUAGCUCAGGGUCUCCUACGCACCCUUAGAAAAUCGGCCCGGUUCUUUUUUGAACACUCGGACAAAAGUGGCAGACUGCUAGCCCGCCAGCUCCGUGAUCGUCGGAUGGCGAGCCACAUACACAAAAUUAAGCCCAGUGACAAAGCUGAAACCCGAAUGCCGGACGGAAUUCAGCGUUCGUUCGUAGACUACUACACGGACCUAUACAAUAUCCCCCAACCCAACACUGACGCUGCCCGUGCACGACAGACCUGCCAAAUUACUGAAUUCCUGGAACAAAAUAUAGAUAACAAGCUGACCGCGGAAAUGCGGGACGACUUAGACCAACCCCUCACUGUGGAGGAGCUGGCGGCGGCCCUGAAAAUCUCCAAAUCCCAUAAGGCCCCAGGACCUGACGGACUGCCCCUGAUGUACUUACGUACGUUCAAGGACAUCUUAUUACCAAAUCUCUUACUGGGCCUCAACUCCAUACUGGAGGGGGGCGCUUCCCCUCAGACACGUUAGCAGCCAUAGUUACUGUAAUACCAAAAGAGGGCAAGGACCCGACGAACUGCGCGAGCUGCCGCCCCAUAUCGCUACUAAACGCAGACCUGAAACUAUUCGCAAAAGCCAUUGCCCUGAGAGUUGCAAAACACCUCCCCCACUUGGUACAUUCGGAUCAGGUUGGGUUUAUCCCGGGCAGGGAAGGGAGAGACAACACGAUUAAGGCCCUGAACAUCCUACACAUAGCACGAGCGCGCCGUAGAGAACUUCUACUACUUUCCACCGAUGCCGAAAAGGCUUUUGACAGGGUGAGCUGGGCGUAUCUGAGGAGUACCCUUACACACAUGGGAUUCGGCCCCAACAUACUGGCCUGGGUGCUCUCACUGUACACGUGCCCCACUGCGAAGAUCCGCAUUAACGGGGCACUAUCAGCCCCUUUCCCAAUCAGGAAUGGCACCCGCCAGGGAUGCCCGCUUUCCCCCCUCCUGUUUGCCCUCUCCCUGGAACCAUUUCUGGGGGCGGUCAGACGGAAUGGGGGAAUCUCUGGAUUCGGCCUUGGUCGUCACGAAUACCGGGUAGCCGCAUAUGCAGACGAUAUGCUGUUCUUUCUUACACAGCCGUUGAUCUCACUGCCCAACCUCCUAGCAUCUUUCCGAGAGUUUGGGGCACUCUCUAAUCUUAAACUCAAUACGGAUAAGUCCGAGGCCCUCCACCUCCCACCCCCUACAGGCCCCCCCAACACACCUUCACACCCAAUACAAGUUUAAAUGGUGCGAAACUAAAUUAAAAUAUUUGGGCAUAUGGCUGACCAAGAACCCGUCCCAAUUAUACCACCAUAACUAUCACCCACUCCUACUCUCACUUCAGACGGACCUUAAGAAAUGGACCCCAUAUUACAUCUCCUGGUUCGGACGUAUCAACGCGAUUAAAAUGAACGUGUUACCCAGGAUACUUUACCUAUUCCAAACAGUGCCAAUUACUCUCCCCAGAGCCUUUUUUAGCUCUAUGACGACUGCCAUCCGCAGAUUCGUUUGGAACUCUCGCCCAACCCGAAUUAAAAAAUCAACCCUGGAACUACCAAAAUAUUACCGCGCCGCACACCUGCACAGACUGACGGACUGGCACGCACAACACCCAUUAAAACAAUGGGUGACCAUUGAGCUAGAACAAACUGAUAGAAAAAUACCCUCUAGGCUUUGGUUACACACUGCCACAUACUCCGACCUGCACACCGAGAACCCACUAAUCAACGCCACGCUCCGAGUGUGGAUGGCUAUACGCUACCGACUGCAACUCACAAGCUCCCCUAGCCCCUUAACACCCAUCACGCAUAACCCAGACCUGGCCGAUGCUCUAACCCCACAAGACCUAGCCGGCCUCCAGCAGGCAGACUGGAUACACCUACACCAAUGGCUCGACACUCAGGGACUUAAACCACUCAGAAACCUCUGCCCCGAUAGACCACCGACGAUACUCGAACAAUUCAGAUACCACCAAGUUAAGACGUACUUCUUAUCCUUACAUGGUCGAGGACACCUGACUAGACCCCUCACCAGCUUUGAACACCUGUGCGUACACCGAACACACGUACACAGAGGUAUCUCCUCUAUACAUACCAUACUCAAGACCCAAACUAACGAGGAUGUGGUGCUCAAAUUUAAGGAUCAUUGGGAGAGAGACUCGGGGGAAGUCCUUACUGUGCAAGACUGGGACAAGAUCUACACUCUCACACAUAAAUGCUCUAUCAGCUCCAGUACCAGGAGCUGAACUACAAAAUUUUAACACGCUGGUACAGAACCCCAGACGUACUCAAUCGCAUGAACGUGGGUGCCCCGGACACCUGCUGGAGAUGCGGCUUGCACACCGGCACGUACUUCCACAUCUGGUGGCAGUGCCCCGAGAUUACCACAUUCUGGGAGAGGAUCAGGGUAGAGAUAAACAGAAUCACAGGUGCGGAGCUACCCCUAGAACCCCUAACGAUGCUAUUACACCACACCCCCACACCCGUCAAGACAUAUAAGAAAUCCCUCUUGCUGCCACUACUCAACGCGGCAAAGGCCCUUAUCCCUGCAAUGUGGAAACAGAAGGGGGCGCCUACCCUCCAGCAAUGGGUGACAAGGGUGGAAGAGAUCCACUCAAUGGAAUCCUUAACUGCAGACCUCCACGGUAGACAGGAGCAAUGUGCACUGACCUGGUACCCUUGGGAAACAUACCUAGCCAACAGAUUAGCAAACCCAAACACGGCCGCCCAGAGGCCCGCAGUAAACCGACUCAUACAGAGCUAAGCCACCCAGCUACUCCUCCCACCUAGGUCCCCUACCUCCAGACCCUUUCCCGAGACUGGACAUUGGACUGAACCCCAACGAUAGACUCUGACGAGCUCGUAACUGGGGCUUAUCAAUACACACACCCACUGUAAUCACAGGUGCAAAAUACACAGGAAACCGAGACCCAACCUAGAGCUGAUACCGGCAUGAAAACAUCCCCUCCUGGCCACCUAGACUGAUACCUAGAGUAUCCUCCCAUAUGACAAACUAUACCGAUAGGCAUACAAAUAUAUACACCAACAACUGCCAACCCACAAUAGUGGGGAACUUAACCUAAACCAUCACACUUUGCUCUCACCCAGGCGACCAGUUGGCCUUGAAUGUUAAUAAGUGCUGAGUAGACUGGGGAGGAGUUAAGGCACUAAAGAUAUCUUUUCUCGCUACCGUGGCUCUAUACCAUGCCCAACAAUAUAUAUAUAUGUCAAGCGACAAAAAGUUCUCUGACACUGUUGGUAUGAAACGUGAAAUGAGUAAUAUAGCGUGUCAAAAAACUUACCCCCCACAGCAACCAGACUAGACACCGAUUCACACCCUAAACGUAGAGCGCACACCAUAGGUGCAACAAACUGCGCACUGUAGGCAAGUGGAGAUACGAGACUAGAAACCUGACCUUAAAUAAUUCUACCUAAUGCAUGUGAUGGAAACUAUAGAAAUAUUGUUUGAGAAAACUGUUUUGAGAAUGUUAAAACAAUGGCUACGAAUGUUGUUAAGCUAUUCAGAAAACUGAUGUUACAAUUGACAUUUUACCGUAACUACAUCUUUCCUUGAAAAAAUGAUAAAAAUCGAAAAUAAAGAUUGUCAAAAAAAAACUUGCAACAAUGGAAGGAUACAAUAACCUUAAGAAUAAGAGAAAGGUUUUUGAUUGGGAAGCUCUUGCAUAAAUUGAAAGGCACAAUCCCAUCAAAAGGACUGAAUUACAUUUGAUUUCACAAUGUUCAAAUAUAACCAACUUAAAUCAAGACAAUUAUAAUAUAUACUUUCUGUAUGGAUUGACAUAGUUGUGGACUAUUACCGCCACAACUAUGAUCCAUAGGCCAAUGUCAUAAGGAUAGCAGAUAAUCUAGAGAAACAAUUCUUACUUAAAGGGUUACUCUAACGACCAUGACUACUUCUGCUUUAGAGGUGGCCAUGGUGGUACUAAUCUGUAAAUGCAGAGUUUCUGUUUGAAAUGCUGAACAUACAGAAAUAUGUGCUCUUUUGUGUUGGGGCUAGUUGCACCCCGGGCACAUGCCAGCUAGACUCUGUUCCAAGCUGCAUAAUGUCAAUUAUGUGCAAAAAUUAUGUCUGUCUGAAUGCUGACGAAAGACCUAAUGAGCUUUUCCCCUCCCUGCCACUGUCAUCUUUUUUAUUUAUUAUGUCCACCCACUCCCCCUCCUACCGGACUCAGAAUGCACACAUGCGCUCUGAGCUGGAGAGAACAGUCCAGUCAAAUGCUUCUCUGUGACUGCCGUAUAAAGGGCUUAAAGGGACACUCCAGGCACCCAGACCACUUCUGCCCAUUGGAGUGGUCUGGGUGCCAACUCCCACUACCCUUAACCCUGCAACUGUAAUGAUUGCAGUUUUCAUAAACUGCAAUAUUUACCUUGCAGGGUUAACUCCUCCUCUAGUGGCUGCCUACUAGACAGCCACUAGAGGGCACUUUCGGGUUUAUAGCACACAUUUUGUAUGCUACAGCGUCGCUGGACGUCCUCAUGCUAUGUGAGGACCUCCAGCGUCGCUGAAAUCCCCAUAGGAAGGCAUUGAAAGCAUUUUCAAUGCUUUCCUAUGGGGAGGUUUAAUGAGCAUUAGGUCUCCCCCGCCACCGGCCGCACAUGCGCAAUAGGUCUCCCCCGCUGACGUCAGCAGGGGAGGAGCGUGGGCGGACAUCGGCGCUGGAUACAGGUAAGCCACUGAAGGGGUUUUAACCUCUUCAACAACUUGGGAUGGGAGGUGGGAGUGAGAGGGGACCUGCAGUGCCAGGAAAAUGGUUUGUUUUCCUGGCAUUGGAGAGUCCCUUUAAAUGUGAUGGAAAGAUGCCAGAUGAGCAGAGCCAUGGUCUGGAAGCCACAAAGAAGUCAGAGAGUAACCAAAUAGGUACUAAAUUGGUUAAUUAUGGUGAACUGUAGCUGAAGGAGAGCAGGUAACACAAGUGCAACAAAUUUGCUUGAGACUCAAUUGAGCACUGAUUAUCUAGUGACCUGGGUUUAAAUAGGGAUUAGUGGUGGAUGCUGGAAAUUAUUAAAUACUUUGUGGAAGAUUUUCUGAUAGCAACACAGUGCUUUGAUAAAAGCUGUCUGGUUUUUUUUUAGAAUUGACUUACAUUAAAGGGACAUUCUAGACCCCUAAAACACUUUAGCUUUCUGAAAUGCUUUAUGUGUGAAGAGUGUUUCCUCUUUUUUUCAUUUUACAAAAAGUGCAGAUUUCAAUAGAAAUUUACACUUUUAUAAUUUAAGCUUUCAAGGAUAUAGCCGGUCUUGUUACUUCCGGGUUUGCUUAUCUGAGUGGAGCUAAACUCAAAAGACAGCUAAUGCUUAGUGCACCUGCCUUGAAAAGACUUCAUAUUGAGCUGUAUUGGGAAGUCUGUGAUUGGACAGCCACAGAACGUCUGUGCAGGGUUAGAAGGGAAGAGCUUGCAAAUGCAGCAGACAAGAGAAUGGCAGGUGUUUUACAUUCUGGUUUUAGAUAUAACCCAAAUAGGAAUAAAUUCUCAACAAUAAAACUCAAAUGAAACAGAUUAUUGUGCAAUAUGUCACUUUAAGUGCUUAUCCUUCAUAAAUGUUUAAAAUGACUAACUCACACUUUUCUGAGCUAUUUAGAGCUCUGAUUUUUUUUCGCUUGGAUGGUACAAUCCCUGUCUCAGGAUGUAUGAAGAUCCUCCAGAUGGUGUACGGUAGUGUUCCAAUAUAUAAACAAUAAAACAGAAGUGGAAACUUUAAUGGUGUAGUAUGCCAAUCUCAGAAGUAACAAUAAAAAACUCAGUAUCCUACUUACAACUUAUAGAGCAAAAACUUGCUCUGGUGUUGUACAGCUUUGGUGGUAUAAUCCCCACCUGUGAUGUGCAGGAACCAGGAAAAGAGUCAGCAGCACAAAAUUAUAAAAUAGGACUUAAAAUAUAUUUAACAAAUUACUUUAUUAAGUUAAAAUAUAUUGUAAAAUCCAUAUGGAGCACAAUAUUGUCAAUAAAAAAACAAUAGGGGGCAGCAAUUUCACACUUAGCGUGUUUCUCCCAGCAGGGAUUCCUCAGAAAUGUGAUAAAUAUAUAUAUAUAAAUACAAGCAAGCUGCAAGGGAAUUUGUUUUAUAUGUUAGAUUUGUGUAGUUACCAGGAUUUAGGAUUAACAGUUAACCUUAAAUUUUGUUGAUAAUAGAAAUUCCCUUUUGCAUUAUUAGCUGUUGCAGGAUUUAUUGUUGACUGAAUUGUCAUGUUUUUUGUUCUAACCAGCAUUGACUUUAGUAGUGGAAGCUAUGACUGGACCAUUUUGUCUAAAUCUCUUUGAGUAGUGGAUCAGCCAAAUUCAAGGUUGACAGCCCGAACAGGGCUGGAGAACACUGAGGGGCCAAAUGUGCUGACCUAUACUAAGCAAUAAUGGGCUAGCAUACAGAUACUCUGUACAAGUCAAGCUGCUAUGGCUAUACAUUAUUCAUAUUUUUCUCUAGAGUGUUGCAUUAAUAGCAUUAAUGACUCUCUGUACAGCGGUAGAGCAGCAUAGCAAUCAAAUAUGAAAUACAUUAAUAACAAAUAUGUAGUGAUUAUAAUUUAUUAGGAACCAAUCCACAUAGAUUGGGCAUUUAUCAUUUUAACUGCAGCAUAUAGAAAUUACAUUUACAAUCUUGAAAUUAUUUUUAUCACUUGUGCAAUUGGUAUGAUUUUAGGUGUUUCAUUUCUCGGAACGUGCGAAAGGAGGAUUUGAUGACAUAGUGUAAUAAAAAUGCACAGACGUUUUAAAGCAGUGCCCUAUUAAGAAGACUGUGGGAUUCAAGUAUCUUUUUUAGUGUUCUGGGAAUUAUAUUUCCUUCCUUUUUGUUCUUUUUGAGUACAUGUUCAGGGCAGAUGAUGAUGACUUAAAGGCAUUGUUUGACAAUAUGUCACAGCCAGGUCAUUAUAUGUUUUGCAGAAUUAUUUUUUGGUGAUACUCUGAUUUUUAUGUUUCUUUAAGAUCAGUCUGGUUCUAGCGUUCAUUGUGACUUGCUAAUUGUAAUUAUGAGUCAGUAUUCUUCACUAAAGUCUCGAAGAGAUCAAUGCAAAUCCAAGCACCUUAAGAUCAAUAGACACUCGUCCGUCUAGUAGAGAAUUAUGGGUGUUGAAGUAUAAUAGCUGGAGGCCUGCCAUGUGACACCAUUACACUAGUCUUGAAGUUAUUUACAGAGACUCAAAUCACUACUUAAGUGGCCUAUGUAGUGGCCUUAGUGCCAAGAUACUGACAAAUGUAAGCAUUUCUGUUUAUGACAAAGAGUAGUUUGUCAGUCAGUGUGUUUCUGUUGUCUGUCAAUCAGAUAGCCACUAAAUGGACUUUCUAGUGAAGACUAUGACAACACUGUGACAACACUGAAUGCAGUUAAGUCUUCCCAUAGAGAAGCAUUUUAAUGAGGAGACCUAUUGAUUAAGCAUGACGAUUACUGCAGAUGCACAGUAAGUCCUCAAUUCUUCUCUAUGGAGAAGCACUUGAUUGGCUGAGAUUAUCCAACCAGAUGAUCUCAGAAGACAGAUAUGCACUUCCUGUGGUAAGACCAAGGUGCCACUGCAUGAGAGGUGAGCUUUAUUAUUUAACUUUUUAUGGGGGGAGGGGGAGAGGGGGUGGAGAAAGGAGACAACAAUCUAAUAUUCACUAGGAAAACUCUAGUAUUGUAAAUACAAAUACAUAUUUAUAACACUAGAGUUUUACUUUAAUGAAAAUAAUAAUUUUACUUCAAGCGUCAUAAGCUAGUGGGAGUUAUGGCUCUUAGAAUUAAUGGUGCAUACUCAUAACUUAGUGUCCUAAAUAAAUUACACGCUGGCUACUGAAUUCUUAUGCAUGGCUCUUCAUUUCUAGAACAUUUCUAAGCUUUCCUGUACACAGACUCGUAAAUUGUGAGGCUCUGUUGCUGGGUCACAGGCUACCAAACACAGUCCCUUUUAUUUUAUGGGCUGUUGAAAUCUUCACCUUUGACCACAUGAUAUUUUAGACUGCUUUUCUGUACCUCCAUGAUCAUCAGAAAAAGGGAUUGUACUCCUCUUCAAAUUUUGAAAAGGACUCAGAAAUAUUACUUUACUUUCCAGUUUGAUUAAACCAUUUAAAAUAACAGUCAUGUUGAAGGGUAAUGUAGUUAAGAUAUAAAACUUUUCGAGUUGAAAUACAGUUCUCUUGUUUCCCCUUGGUCCUGGGAGAACCAGUGGCUUGACAGUGGAUUGGCUUUGUAACAAAUAGCCAGGCUCCUCGGCGCCAUGUACUUUUUUUGGAUAGGAUGCAGCCACAGAGAGAUCAUUGCAAAUUAAAUCUGGACUGUGUGCCAAUGUAAGCAAGAAGAUAAACUUAGUGUAGUAGGGAGUCUCAGUAACGUCAAUGGGUGAUACAUGUUAAACAGCACAACUGAUUGACCAAAAGAGAACAUUCUGAAAUUAGAAUUUAGAUGUAAUAAGCUAAACUUCUAACCUAUAAUUUUUGUUGGAAAAAAAAAAUAUAUAUUAAUAUAAAUUUAUAUAUAUAUACAAAAUAAGAUAGCACUCUAAGGAUGUUGUAGUACAAAAUAAAACUUAGCUUUUAUUGCUCACAUUAAAAAUCUCAACGUUUCAGCUUGUCUGUCAAACUUUCAUCAGGAUUUUUUAUAUAUAAUACAAACUGAAGUGUCAGCGCUUAGUAGAUAUACCGAUAGAUAAAAAAAAAUUCUAGGUUAUCACAAAUGGACAAAUUCGAGUUCCAAUGAAUAGUUAUUUGAAGGGUGUCAGCAUAGACGAUAAAACGAUCGCGCUGUAUGGGAGAUCCAAUAUUGCUUGAACAGUAUCCACCUCCGUGUAACUUCAAGGUUAUAUUGUAUCCAUCUUAAAUUACAAUAAAUGGCAACAUAGUGUAAUACUUUUAGUUUAUUUAUAACAUCCCCAAUUCCCCUUCUAGGAACUCUUACAAGACACCCUUUAAAUAACUAUUCAUAGGAACUCGAAUUUGUCCAUUUGUGGUACCCUUGAAUAUACUUUUUAUCUAGGGGUAUAUUUACUAAGCACUGUUUGUAUUUUGUAUGUAAAAAUUGGAAAGGUUUCUUUUAUGCAUUUUAGCUGCUUACACCUGUAUAUAAUUCUUAUUGAUUACUUUUACGUAUUUCUAUUGCGCUCUCUUAGUGUUUUUCCUUUUGUAGGAUUAUAUAUAUUGUGAUCCUUGUCAGCAGGUAGCAUGGUCCUCUAGGGCAAAAAUAUGCACAGUCCUUGUAAUUCAUAUACUCCAGGCACUUUAUUUGUAAGUUCACACAGGAUACAGCAGUAAAAUGAAAACAUAAAUGUAACAGAAAACCCUAUAAACAAAAACCUAGCUCGUCUGAGCACUAACUGACAUAAGUUUCCCUAUCUCUCAGGGUUACACUAAACAAUAUUGCACCAACCUUUUAGAUAGCAACACUCUGCUAUCUAACCUGUUGCUUUCCUUUCUGCACUCCCAGUGCUCCAAGCCAGCUUUGCCCUGACUGCUUUCCUUUCUGCACUCCCAGUGCUCCAAGCCAGCCUUGCCCUGACUGCUUUCCUUUCCGCACUCCCAGUGCCUAGUCUCUUUGACUCUAUCUGGAGAGAUCAGCCUCUCUCCUACCUGCUUCCUGGGAGGAAGCCAGCAAUCCCUCUGCUUUACCUGUCUAGCAGGGAGGAGUUUAUUCCCACUGCAACAGCUUAUUAACUGCAGCUGAGCAGUGGGUUGGAGACGAUCCAAAAAACCCUGGCCUGGAUCCAUGUCUCCCCAGAAAACCACUAAACUGUGGAGUGGAGCAUUGGCCCACCCUUCUCUCCAAAUGCUCCACCCCAGGGGCCCAUAACUAAACAAUGCGUUGUGUUGUGCAAAACACAAACUACACAUACUCCCCCUGGGGUUAAAAGGCCUAUCUGCCUUCACUUUAUCACAUAUCCUCCCCCCCAGCUCAGACCCAUCGGGUCGAGCGACCUUAGAACACAAACCACGAAUGUUCACGUCACCUGGGGCUGUACCAGCCCUGACUUGCUCCUCAGUUACAGAAAGUGGCCUAUUGUAGAUGGCUGCUACCUUGCUCCCUUGUAGUUUAAGGAACCCCCACCCAAGCGGACAACCCAAAUAGUUAGCUGCCUCAAAUCCUAGAUAACACUUAGUGUUAGCGGUCAGACCGACAGCCCUUACAUUAUUCACAACUAACUGGACCUUCAUCAGGUGUGCUUCCAAGUCCACCCUGUGAAUCGCCACAUCACCAAGGUAGGCAGCGGCAUUCUCUCCGUGGGGCCAAAGUAUCUUAUUCAUAUGCUGAAAGGGGGCUGGUGCACUAUGCCACCUGAAUGGCAGUACUUUAUGUUGCCAUAACCCCUUGGGAGUAGAAAACGCUGUCCUUCCCUUUGCUGUCUCUGUCAGGGGAACCUGCCAAUACCUUAUGACCAGGUCCAAGGUACUCAGAAACCUGGCCUUACCUAUACGCUCUUGUGUUUGAGCUACAUGUACUACAGGGCAUUUAACUUUUACUACCUCUGUGGCAAACUCUACCUCUGCCAUGGGGUAUGUGUGGGUGUCACCAUGUGUACCCACAAUAUCAAACACUUGUCUUAAAUCACAUUUUUCUGGCUGGAGCAGAACACUUUUCAAAGUAACCUCACUCCUUGAAUCUAUCAAUGUUUGUGCACUCUUCUCUACCACCAUCACCACUUUUAGCUGUGCUGUAACACCACCACCAGUCACCAUACACAUCUUUAAGCAAGGCAAUACUAUCCUAUGCAGAGCCCUUAUUCCUAUGUCACAUUGUAUUGGCUCUUCAGUCUCAGGACAGUUAUAUGCAAUAUGUCCUUGCAUGUGGUAGUUGAAGCAUCGAGGUUUUUCUCAGUCUGGUCUCGUAGCCAUAAUGGGACUUUUGGGUACGUUCUGCCAGCAUAGUUAUAUUGUCCCAGGCUCAGUAUCAGGUUUGAUAGUCUCUCAAUGUCCGAGUUACUUUCAAAUGCAAACUUUACAAAGGCUUUGCGUGUAAUUAACUUUUCUAUAUCACUUAUACAUCCAAUUCCUUCAUGAGCUAAAUUUUCUGGGUGCUCAAACUCUUCAAGACCUGGUUCUGUCACCAGCUCAUCCAUCAUCAGUUCUGCGAAUUCCUGGGAGCCUUCAUUGCUCCCUACGGCUAAUGCUACAGGUCUCAUCUCUAUAUCCUCAGGGGGUUGGCCAAGGAGGCUGUCUAGAGCACCCUCCUCCUGCAUGAAUGCAGCCCUUGAUCCCAGCUCCAUCCUAUCAUGCUCGGCCUGGCUUGGCAUGGAGCGCUGUUCUACCUGAGGCCCAGACUCCUGGCUUAGUUCAUCUCUCCUUUGCCUGGUUUCCUCCCCAGGGGUAUCUUCCACUUGCUCGGCCUUGAGUGGCCACCUCUCAGUGUCAGAAAUGCUUUCCUCUGGGCUGUCUGGCAGUCUCCCUGUUCCCUUGGGGGUGUCCAGAGACGCAGUCAUGGCCUCUCGCUGGAUCAUGACAGCCCCGGUAUCAAACAGCCGGUCAGGCAGUCCGAGUCCCGCCUUUAAUUCCACGACUGUGUUCCCAGAGUCUGGCAGCUGUUCCAGGUAGUUAGUGCGCCCAGGCCUUGUAGCAGUAGUCUUUGCCAGUUCUAUGGCUCCCAAACAAUCCUUCAAAGUCUUUGUAGCAAUACCAGACGUGUUUGAAAUAUUUAAUUCAGCUGCGCCAAUGUCACCUGCUUUGUAACUUUCGCCUUGGUCGGGCUUAGGUGCGGACGUGCCCAUCUUAUCACCACAGCUUGGUUCUGUAACUGUCGCUCUCUCUUGGCUUAGAUCAGAAGCAGCUACUUUGCCUUUCUUUUCUCUGCCAAACUGUUCAACAGCUGGUCGACAUCUUGGGUAGCCUCGGCUACUAAACAGUGCACCGCAUUGCUAUACUCAGCUGGGGUGCUUUGCUUCUCUCCAUUAAGCUCAGCUCUUUUGCAGUUGUCUUCUCUGACUCCCCAAGUCAGUCUGCUUUUCAUGCCUUUAACUUGUUCACUUGGGUGUACAUCAGGGGCUCCUGCUUCGUUUUCUUUUAUAUGUGAUCCCCCUGGAAUUGCAUCUAUUCUCUUCUCUUCACCAGUCCUUCUGGGCGCUUCACUUAGAAAAUCUAGAACUCUUGUUUCCACUAUAAAAUCUGGGUUCCACAAUAACUGGUCAUCAUUUUCAUACACUCUUUCAGUUUCCUUGUACUUGCAGAUGCCAACUGGAAUCUCUGCCUGGAACAUGGAACCAACCAUUAUUUCAUUUUGCCAGUCUUCUGAAGGAACAUAAUCCUCAUCAUCCUCUGAUUCUUCUUCUAUUUCAUUAUUUGCAUCAAAAUACUUGCACCUCCGUGGCCUGAUUGCCUCUUGUACAUCCCGACAUGUAGCAGAUGGCACUGUGUCAUCGUUACAUGAUUGAGUCUCAUCUUUGUUUUCCACACUGCAGGCACUGUUCCGGUCAUUCUCCUUUUCUUCUUUCAUUACCUUGGGAAGAUUUAUCAGUACCUUUCUGUUUUCAAAUGUCUUUCCAGCAUUCUCUUGAAACAUGCAAGAUGCAGUUUCUGAGCGUGAAAAUAUUUUUGUUUCCAACUCUUUUCCCAGGAUCGCUUUAUCUGUUGUGAUGCCACUUAGAGCAAGUUUGAGGCUUUCACGUGAAGCUGCAACAUUUUGGUUCUCAAAUAAACACUUGUCAACUUCAGUAAUCAGUAUGCCUCGCGCUCCUUUCUUACUUUGGUGCAUGUCAUCAGUGUCACCUUCUUCCACAUUAGCACUACUUUCAGGCUCAAUUGUAUCUUUCUUGCCUUCUAUUUCUUGUUCUCUCUCUUCUGUGUGUUUCUCAACAUCAAGCUUUGCUGCCUCCAUGCUUUUCAGCUUGCUAAAGACUUCUUCUACUGCCUCUGUCAUCUUAUGCAGGAUGUCAGUAGCUUGGUUACGGGGUCCCUUGUCCCCACACACCCUGCUGGAGGCAAUCUGCAAAACAUCAGUAAGGGCAGCUCUAUACUCCUGCUGAGCGUCCCUCAGGUUCUUAAUCUGUGCAGCCAGGAAAUGGUUGGUGUUUUGUUGUAUAGCAGUUGCCUCUUGUUGUACAGCAGUUGCCUGUACCAGAGCCUUCAGCAGGUCCUCCAUUAUAGCACCAAGCAGGUAAUAGUCUUAAAGGUACAGUGCUACUAUUUUUUUUUUUUUUUUUUUUUUUUAAACAGGUCUGCAAAAAUAAAAAGUCCUCAAGCAGACUACUGAAUGACUGGCACACCCACAGACCCUCAAUUUGCUACUAUGCCCGCAUUCUCCACCAUAUUGUGAUCCUUGUCAGCAGGUAGCACGGUCCUCUAGGGCAAAAACAUGCACAGUCCUUGUAAUUCAUAUACUCCAGGCACUUUAUUUGUAAGUUCACACAGGAUACAGCAGUAAAAUGAAAACAUAAAUGUAACAGAAAACCCUAUAAACAAAAACCUAGCUCGUCUGAGCACUAACUGACAUAAGUUUCCCUAUCUCUCAGGGUUACACUAAACAAUAUUGCACCAACCUUUUAGAUAGCAACACUCUGCUAUCUAACCUGUUGCUUUCCUUUCUCUGCCCACUGUGCUCCAGUGCUCCAAGCCAGCUUUGCCCUGACUGCUUUCCUUUCUGCACUCCCAGUGCUCCAAGCCAGCCUUGCCCUGACUGCUUUCCUUUCCGCACUCCCAGUGCCUAGUCUCUUUGACUCUAUCUGGAGAGAUCAGCCUCUCUCCUACCUGCUUCCUGGGAGGAAGCCAGCAAUCCCUCUGCUUUACCUGUCUAGCAGGGAGGAGUUUAUUCCCACUGCAACAGCUUAUUAACUGCAGCUGAGCAGUGGGUUGGAGACGAUCCAAAAAACCCUGGCCUGGAUCCAUGUCUCCCCAGAAAACCACUAAACUGUGGAGUGGAGCAUUGGCCCACCAUUCUCUCCAAAUGCUCCACCCCAGGGGCCCAUAACUAAACAAUGCGUUGUGUUGUGCAAAACACAAACUACACAUACUCCCCCUGGGGUUAAAAGGCCUAUCUGCCUUCACUUUAUCACAAUAUAUAUAUAUUGCAUCUAAACUUUAUCCAAAACUAGGUACCCUGUACAGAAACAAAUCCGGCCUAAGCCCUACAGUAAAGAUUGUACAGCAAAUGCUGAUGCCAAUCAUUGAUUAUGGGGAUGUAGUAUAUGCAUCUGCAUCGCAAUCCCACAUUAAUAAACUCAACACAUUGUAUAACUCGUUCUGCCGAUUUGUGCUACAAUGUAAUUACAGGACCCACCGUUGUGACAUGCUAAAACAACUAAACUGGCUGUCGCUGGAAUCCAGACGCACCCUUCCUCUUUCCAGCCUUGUGUUUAAGAGAUUUUCUGGGAAACUCCCGCCCUACCGGCUGUUCCUACCUCCUAUACACUCCAUUCCAGUACCAACACUUUAUUUAGUCUACCUCAAUACAAAAAGAAAGCAGCCCGAUCCUCCUUCUCCUACAGAGCACCGCAAUUGUGGAACGACCUCCAGCACAAUUUAAAAUCUUCCCCAAGCCUAAAGUCCUUUAAGAGAUCCCUCUCUACAUACCUCAAAACAGAAUGCGCCUGUCAUGGUUGAUUAUAUAUAUCCUACCUGUUCUAAGUUAAAUUUUGUAUAUAUUGUGUAUUAAUAUUGUUUUUGUAUUUUAUUAUACCCUAAUGUAACAAUGCAAUGUUUUGUAGACCCAGGACAUACUUUAAAAUGAAAGAAAUCUCAAUGUAUCUUUCCUGGUAACAUAUUUUAUAAAUAAAUAAAUAAUAUAUUUCAUAACAAUUCAUGUUAACUUUAAAACCCUUUAAAUAUUUAUAAACUUUUAACUUAAGUAAAAUAGUGAUAAUGUAACUAUCCAACUUAAGUAAAAUAGUGAUAGGGAUUUAAUAAGAGUACUUUAUGAUACUGUAUAAGUCAUUUACAGCACCAAUACCCCUUUUUUUGACAGGUUCUAUUCAAUGUUUAAAUAGGUUUAAAUAGUGUCCUACAAUUAGCCACGUGUCAGGGAGGGAUGCAAAACCAGGCGUUUUUGGCAAGUGCUCUCAUAUUAUACAUACAACAGAAAGGUUGCAUUGACCAGCAAAAAAUAUGCUGGUGGUAAACUCUAAAUACAACAUGGGAUAUUCAUUUUCAAAGAAUGGUCAAAAUGGUCAAAAAUAGGAUACAUUGGUGUUGUGGCAGGCUUAUGCAAUGUAUGAUCAUAUACUGUAACUCUGUGGUCAUAGGUGCCUCCUCCUCCUCAUGACCCAAUUCCAGUUGUGAUACCAGUUUUGCCUUGACUCAAAUGUUGUGUAACUAGAUGUUUUGUUGUUAUUUUAGAUGGUGGUCUUUUACUCAUUCAUAAUUCCCACCUAUGUUUCAUGUAGCACCUCUCAUUGUUAUUAUUAUUUAUAUAGCGCCAACAAAUUCUGCAAAAAGUAGGUUACAAGAAUAGUAUCCACUGAGGGAUUAGUGGUACUUUUUUUUUAGAUGACAGAUGCUGGAAAGGAAUCAAGGUGCAGAGAGGGAAACUAUUAACAGUUUUAUUGAUAUGCAUUUCGUAAGACAUGAGUUUACAUUGUAUUUUUUGAAGGAAUGGAGAUUGGGUGAAAGUCUAAUGGAGAAGGGAAGGGAGUUCCACAGGAACGGUGCAGCCCUAGCGAAGUCUUGGAGGUGAGCAUCAGAGGUUGAAGUACGAACAGAGGAUAGAUGUAGUUCUUCUGCAGAGCGUAGGUGCCUAGGUGGGACAUACUUGUGUAUUAGGGAGGAUAAGUAGGUUGGAGCAGCAUUAUGUAGAGAUUUGUGGGAAAGUAUCAGAAUUUUAAAUUGAGCCCUAUAUGAAAAACCAGUGAAGGGACUGACAGAGGAUUGAGGCGUGGGAGAAGGAUGAGCCUCGCUGCAUUCAUUAUAGACUGUUAACAGGGUAAGUUGGCAAUUCAAAAGGUAUUGAAGGGGCAAUUCCUAAAGGAGUGGGUUUAAAUAGGUGGACAGUGUGAACUUCAAAGGAUGGAAAUGAAAAGGCAGGGAAGAUUGGUUGAAAUGUAUAUUGAAGUCUGCAAGUGUGGGAGAAUUGUAGCCCACUGAAACAUAAUUAAGCAGGAGUAGUGCUAUCAGAGGGGGUCAACCAGGUCUCAGUGAAUGCUAAUAGUAUAAAAGAAUUUGAGAUGAUGUGGUCAUGUAUGGUUGUCGAUUUCAGAUUACUGCAGAUGGAGAGCGUGUUCAAAAAUGUACAUUGAAUGUUGGCAGAUGAGGAUAAAUGGCAGGGUAUUGGGAUGAGGUUUGUUUAGUUUCUGGUUGCCUUAACAUGAACAGAGGAGGUGGGGCCCUGAUUUUCGAAAGACAUCACCAACUGCUAGAAGCAGGAAGAGAGAUAGUGACAGGAGGUGUGAAUGGGUUUUGUAUGGUUCUAGUCUAGGAUGACAUUGUUUGUAAGUAGGAGAGAGAGAGUAAAGAAAAGAGUGCAUGGCAUGAGAUGAGAGAAAGGGAGUGUAACAGGGAGGGGGAAAUGUGGAGGUUGUUGGUGGGUUGAGGGAAGUGUGUGUGAGGAGAGAUUUUGAUACUGAGGGAGAAGAGGGAAAAGAAGAGGAGGAGAAGAAAGAGCAUUGCUCAGAUGAGUGUGCACUUUCAGAAAAAACUUGGAGAUGGGGAGUAGGUCAGGAGAGGCAAUUGAGCAGAUGAUGUGGCGUAGAAAGCAUGGGAAAGUAUGCUGGAAUGGAUUGGGCGUUAGGGGUUAAGAAAGUGUUGGUGUGUGCUAAUUAAAGGUAGUGUUUGCAACUGCCAUUUCUGAUUAUGUAAAUUUGUGUGAGAUUCUAUCUCUAAAUGGAAUGAUGAGCUUGCGGUGUGUGUGUAACUGAGUACCUUACAGUUGUGAAGUUGGAUACUUCCUCUGCCUCGCAGAAACCAUUUUCUUUUUUCAUCACAGACCCAUUACAAUGUUCCAAUUCAAAAUUUAGAAAAAACUAAUUAUCUGUACAGCCUCGCUGUACACCACAAUAUAUCUCCCACAAAUACUCUGCUAUCCCACCUGCAAAGAUGUGGGAUUCCCCUCACCAACCCAUAGAUAGAUUUGCAUGGCAGGGGACAAAUUUUGCCCCCAUAGCAUUUCCACACCUCUGCAGGUAAAAGGCUGAGUCAAAGGAGAAAUAGUUGUUGGUCAAUAAAUACUCUGUAGCUUUCAAAAUAAAGCCAAUCAGUUGUUCCCUGUAGUCACUAUUUCUUUUAGAGGAUUUUUUAAAGGAACACUAAUUGGUCAGGAACAUAAACAUGUAUUCCUGGCCCUACAGUGUUAAAACCACCAUCUAGACCCCCACUUGCCUCCCUAAAUAUAGUAAAAUCUUACUUUUAUUUAAGUCUGCAGCUGCUGGCUCUGCCCCGGUCUGCCUCCUGUCUACUGAUCAUCAGAAGUGGUGGUCUGAGCCAAUCAUAGAUUAGGGACAGAGCCAACACAAGUCAAACACAGUCCAAUCAGCAUCUCCUGAUAGAGAUGAAUUGAAUCAAUGCAUUUCUAUGAGCAAAGUUCAGUGUCUGUAUGCAGAGGGUGGAGACACUGAAUGGCGGUGCUGCUCACUGUGCAGCCCUGCCCUAGAAAGCACCUCUAGCAGCCAUCUGAGGAGUGACCAUUGGCGUUAUCACUAAGCUGUAAUGUAAACACUACAUUUUCUCUGAAAAGACAGUGUUUACUAUAGAAAGCAUGAAGGGAAUGAUUAUACUCACCAGGACAAAUACAAUCAUCUCUAGUUGUUCUGGUGACUAUAGUGUCCACAUCCAAUGGCAACCAUUUAAAGAUAUCCACCCUAAGAAAAUGAUUAAACCUAGAUAUGACAUAUCCUAAGUACCUAAGAUAGGACCUCGAUAUCUUGACUAGUGGUUGUAAAAAAAACAUUAAAGGACCACUAUAGGCACCCAGACCACUUCAGCUCAAUGAAGUGGUCUGGGUGCCAGGUCCAUCUAGCAUUAACCCUGCCUGUUGUAAACAUAGCAGUUUCAGAGAAACUGCUAUGUUUACAUUAGGGUUAAUCCAGCCUCUAGUGGCUGUGUCACUGACAGCCGCUAGAGGCGCUUCCGUGCUUCUAACUGUGAUUUUCACAGUGAGAAGACGCCAGCGUCCAUAGGAAAGCAUUAAGAAUGCUUUCCUAUGGACUGACUGAAUACACGCGCGGUUCUUGCCGCGCAUGCGCAUUCAGCCGAUGUCGUCCGAAGGAGGAGGAGAGUCCCCAGCGCUGAGGGAGCCUGGCACUGGAGAAAGGUAAGAUUUUUAACCCCUUUCACUCCUUAGAGCCCGGCGGGAAGGUGGACAUGAGGGUGGGGACCUAUUAAUAUUAUAGUGCCAGGAAAACAAGUUUGUUUUCCUGGCACUAUAGUGGUCAUUUGACCUCUUAAGGACCAAACUUCUGCAAUAAAAGGGAAUCAUGACAUGUCACACAUGUCAUGUGUCCUUAAAGGGUUAAGCAAUUCUGACAGAUGUUCCCUUCUCAUCCAGAGCACCUGCGUUGCAAAUAUUUCUCAAGGAUCUGUGAUACAGCAGAUCAUUGAUAAGUCUGUGAUUGGACAGCCACAGAAAGUCUGUGCUGGGGAAGACGGGAUGGGCUUGCAGUUAGCUGCACAUACUAGAUCUACAGCUAUUGCAAGCUAAGAUUUCAUAUAGCCUCAAAAAAAAAAGAAGCAGCUGUAUGCAGUGCUCAAAAUAAGUUCUAAAUACAACCCUUUAAAGUCAUUUUAAUCACUGCGGUUUCUUUUAUCCUUUCCUGUUAGCACAUGCUACUGCUCUCUGUAGUGGUUAUGGUACUUAGAGUGUGCCUUUAAGCAUGAUAGUUGUGCACAUGUAAUACCUUUUAGUGUCUUUGGCAUGGCUCAACAUAUGUUUCAGUGGUUCAAAUUUCAAUGUUAUGAAUAAGGUAGCUCUGAACCUCAUAUGUCUAUGGUCCAAAACAUGUAAGGAAUAUUUCUCUUUGGAUUUUGCUUUCCCCUAUUUGUUUAUGUACCUUGGAGAAUAAACCUUUCCUUUUGGAUUUGGAGCCCUUGCUUUUUCUGGCAUAAUUUAUUUAGUUUUUUUCUUUGCAGAAGUUCUGAACCUGUCAGCCACCUGGCAUUUUUUCCACACCUGUCCUUAUGUUCUGGCAUCUCCAUCUUAAUUCUUGAUCCUGGGGUUCUCCAAAUGUCGGUCUUGCCCUGCCCGAUUGUUUAAGCAAUUGUGUGCAGUUAUCUUGUCAACAACCUUUUGGGG
RNAcentral lists this long non-coding RNA (55218 nucleotides) under Pelobates cultripes (western spadefoot toad). The record is from RNAcentral. Lineage: Eukaryota; Metazoa; Chordata; Amphibia; Anura; Pelobatidae.